UUUUUUUUUUUUUUUUUUUUUUUGUUUGUGUUGAUUUCCUGGGAUAUAUAUAUAUAUAUAUAUAUUAUUUACGGGUGUUUAAAUCAGAGUCGUGAUUUUUUACCUGAAAAAUGGCUCACCUUUCUCCUUGCGUGCUUGGACCGAAUGUUAAUACUUAGGGAGGGCUUUCUGCAAUCUGAUUGAUCAUUUUAACAUUUAUCACGUGAAGUCCUGAAAAAAAAAACUAGCCGUUAAUUUGCAGCAAAUUAAUCAUAUUUUAGUACACACAACACAAGUGCUGUUUGUUUUUCGUAUAUCCCUCCUUAUUUGAAUAGCAGCAUUACUCUUUUAAGUAAAUAAAUAAUACUCCAGUAAAUUAGUUCGCAAGAUACUCUUUUAAUUUUGUCGCUGUCAAAUUCAGGAUUAAAAAAGAAAAAGUGCAAGUAAAAUAAAAAAAAUUACCUCAAUUCUGUUUUUUUUUUUUUUUGCCCUCUCCAUCAUCGAUAAGAUAAAGCUCAUGCCCCCUAAUCUGUCGUGAGAAUGCACUCUGGCGACACUGGCCGUUUUGUCCUGCCUUUUAAGAGGAAAAUGUUAGCAAGUGAAACUCGUAACAUGUGCAAUUGAUCAGAAUUUGAAUUUGCACAUGCCUGUCCAUAUUAAGGAUAGAUUCAAUGGUUGGCGUCUCUUUAACUUCUACCCGAAUUCAUUCAUGCCUAUUCGAUGAAGAUUGCAAAAUCUUGACUGUUGACCCCAGCAACUUUUCUUGCUUAGUAAUUUCUAUCGUGCUCCUAGUUAUCCUCUCCACGCUUCUUCGGAUAACAAAAUCUGUGUGUGUUUGGAUGAAAGAUUAUUUACGAAAGAAAAUUUUGAAAUCAAUAUUGUAACGUCCUUUUUUUAUAUGUAUAUCAUGUGUGUGUCUAUACACAUAUACUAGUGUGAAUACCCGUGCUACGCACGGUGCUGACAUUAUUAAAAAAAAUAAAAAUAAAAUGGUGAACAAAUAAAGGUGAAAAAAUUGUACCAACAAAAUUAAAAUGUAAUAUAUGUUUAACAAUAGUUUGAAAUAUAAUAGAAUGUGUAUAUCAUUCAAGAAUUGUCUUUUUUCGGAAGAUGGAUCCUGAAAAAAAAAAUAAAAAAUUAUAUUAAAAAAGGAAAUGAUAUAUUUCUACAAAUGAAUGUAAUUGAAUGUUGUUAAAAUGAAAUACUUACAAAUACUAAGCAUUCGAUUUGAUAAUCUUGCUUGAAGGUGCGAAUACUCUUCACACUAAUCCACUUUUAGUACGAAUGCCAAAAUUGGUGAUUUAAUUAACUUUGUUAAAUUUUGUGGAGUGCGUAUUACAAAUGAAAAUGCACGAUCUUUGCAUUUUUGUGAUAAUGACUUGUACUUCAAUUGCACUUGAAAAUUUUUAGUCCAAUGAGACUACUGAAAAUUUCCCGUUACUGAACCUCCCCAUCCCACGCAUCCGAUUAUGAGCACCGAGGCGAGGAGACGGUAGAGUAACUCACUUUUUCCCAACUUCCAGCAAGUACCCCACCAGCGCCAACCACACAUAUUUGCAAUCACAACCCCUCCCCCCCCCCCCCAAAACCCCACAAAACCAAGCACCACUUAUUGAAAACAAACCAAUAAAUGCACUAAAAUGCCUCCCAUCUAUACCUCAAAUUGCAUUUUAACCCACGAAUUUUUAUUUUAGGUACUUUGACCGCUUAUUGUUAUUUUUUUGUGCGAAAUUAUCCCUCUAAUUGCUUUUGUCUUUUUCGAUUUUUUCACAUGUCGCUAACUGCUUCAUUCCCUCUGCUAUCACUUGUAUAUUUAAAAUCAAUUUUUAAUAUUAAUAAAAAGGAAUCCAUUAGUUUAUAAUAUGUUCAUAAUGUAGAUAAAUUAUUAAAUUUGGAAAAAGGGCGUAUGUUCUUAUAGGCUUCUUUUCUUUUCUUUUUUGGGGGAAAAUGAGUUUGUUCUUGUAGGUUUUUUUUUUUUUGGAUAUAGAAUUGUUUUUCAAAGAUUUUGGUUCUUAGCCCCUACUAUGUUUAAACCAUCUUUUAAUAUCCAAUUCAAUAUAGUCUUUUAAUUUGGCAGCCUCUAUAAUUUUUAAUUUAUUCUUUUGGUUUAAGUUCAGUUAGAAUUCAGAAUUUUUCAAAACACCAAGAGAAAUCAUAUUUUUUUUUAGACACCGUCUUCAAUUCCCCAUCUAAUGACCCUUGUGGAUUUACUGAUUAUGAAUAGGAUAGAUGAUGUGGUUAUUAGAAUUUAAAAGCUACGGCCAUAGUGUUCCUAUUCCGUUUUUCUUUAUUUCUUUUCGAUCAAGGUAAUCUCUAAUCCUUCCAAGUGAAGUUUAAAUAUGAUUGAAAAAACAGGGCCUUCAAGUACAUUGCCAAGUAGCUUUAAUGAAAGAGGCUAUUGCAAGCCUAAAAAUUGAGAUUCCAGAAGAUCACGUUGGUUAAUUAUUAGAGGUUUAACAGGCCCUACUCUGAUGGUUCGAGUUUGUGUCUUAUCUUGAACAAUAAGUGCAACUAAACUUUACAAUUUUGUUCUUCACACACAUCGUUUCCACUUUCCAUUUUCGCUGAAUUGCUACUAUUUGAGUAGCAACAGCAUGGUCGAUGCAUAAAUCAUGUCUUUAAUGGGUCUUUUGGAGCAUGUGCUUGUGAUUUUGUGUUUAUACUUUAUCCCACUGUUAAGUAUCUUUGCUUUACGAUGUAACAAUAAGCAAACGACCGUUCAUAGGAUUUUGUAAAAAAAUUUCAAAAAUAAUGGAUGAUCAGAAAAUCAAUGCAAUAUCAUUCAUGACAAAAAGCAAAUCAAAAGCAAAACAUACUUAAAAGGCAGAGGGGCAGAGGGGACUGACCUGGAAAAUUAAGCUGGCAAGAAUAUACUUCCAGUUCUCCACAAGAAAGUUGAUUUCCGCUGAAGUCUCUGCACAUAAUCUCUUCCAUAACUGCUCACAAAAGAAACAAAAUCAAUACAUUUACAAAAUCAAUAGAGAACCAAAAACAAAUAAGAAACUGAGAGAGAGGGUGGGGGAAUUAGGGGUGGAAUUCUUUGGAGGAGUUUUAAUUGGGGUGAAAUUCUUAAAUUGGAAGACUCUUAAUUGGAGUGGACUCUUAAUUGGAGUGGGAAACGUGGGAGGAAAUGUAGGCGAAAACGUGGAAUGAUGAUUAGAGGAUUUGUAGGAGUGGUUGUAGGAUGAGUUAAGAGAUAGUUGGAGUGGACUCUUAAUUGGAGUGGGAAACAUGGGAGUAAAUGUAGGGAGAAACGUGGGAUGAUGAUUAGAGGAUUUGUAGGAGUGGUUGUAGGAUGAGUUAAGAGAUAGUGGGAAUAUUUUAAAUUUAAAUUUGAUUGGUGAUAAGGUGGGUUAUGACCCAUUACUUUUUAUGUAUUAAAAUAAAUACAAAAAUCUAGAAAAAAGAAUGAGAAGUUUAGAAGCCAUUGAAAGGGUUUCUGCUAAAAACCCCUUCUUGAAUACAUAUAGAUAUAGAUAUAGAUAUAUAUAUAUAUAUAGCAAAAAAUGUUAAAAAGGGUGCUUAUGUUGCAUAAUUAGUAAAAUACGAGAUGAGUAUAAUAUGAGAUAUUAUACAUGUGCAUAUUAUACGAAUAUAAAACUAUGUGUUCGACAAAAUCAUGCAUAUAAAUUCAUUGGUGAAUAGCAUGAACAUAUUCAAAAGUAACAAAACUAAAAAUACAAAUAAGUUUAUUAUACUUUUUAAAGACUAUGCUCUAUUUAUGCAAAUUUUAAACAUUUUUUUUUGUAUGAAAUGUUAAAUUUAUUAAAAUUUCAUCAUGUUAUUAAUUAAAUAUGCAUAAAUCUAUGGUUAUUAUGAAAUGUAAUGUUCUUAUUUUGUAUGUAACUCAAAAUUAUGUCAUUAUCCUUAUUCAAAAUUUAAAAUUUUUUCAAACAUUUAAAUAAAACUUGUGAAGUAUAAUACAUUCAAAGUAUAUUACCUGUUUUAUACAAUUAAUUGAAAAGUAAGAAUAUUUUUCAAGAUAUUAUUAAAAUGUACAAAAUACAAAAGUAUAUUGCAUGUUUUAUACGAUUAAUGAAAAGUAAGAAUAUUUUUCAAAAUAUUAUUAAAAUGUACGAAAUACAAAAAAGUAAUUGAAUGCUUUUUAACAGUUUUGUCGGCAUCCAAGUAGUCCAAAUCAAGCUACAUACGUUUCCGCUCCCAUCGUCUCUUAAUAUACUAGUCACCUGUUUGCCCGAAUAAUAUGUGAAAUUAAAAUGUAUUUGUCUUACUCCCCACUAACGUGUCUGUAUCAAUACUACUAGUCACCAGUGUAUCGAGGCUAUGAAUUUCUGACGGGGUGGUGUAAGUUUUUUAUACACAAUAAGUUUAACAAAGAAAACAAAAAGAAUAGUAAGUAAAAAAAAAAAAAAAAUUAAGUCCUGCAUCUAGAAGUCAUGAAAGAGCAUCAGCGCAUCAUCAAGAUUCAUCAAGGACGAUUCGUAAAUAAUGCUGACUUUCUUUAAGCGCAUGUAUCUUUUGCGCAAUUCCUCUACCUCUCCGACCUUGUCUUUAGGCAUCUGAAGAAUCUGGCAAAGGUUAUAGAAAUGAUCAGACACCAGAUCAAAAAGACACCUCCAGAACUAUUUAUUUGCAAAAGAUUUUAUCGCCCAGAAGGAUUUCUUCAGAUCACCAGCAUGAAAUCCCUCCGAAGCUUUCAGUUUAACAUUCAAGUAGAGGUUCAAAUGCACGGAUUCAGUCACAAACCUCUUUUUCUUGGUCCAGCUCGUGUGCAAUACGAAGUCUCAGGUUUAAAGCAGCGUGGUACAUUUCAUCUAAAACAUGUUGGCAAAGAGACUGCCUAUUAACUUUCCACAACAAGAAAUGUGUCUGCCUAGCUCCAUUCACAGUAACUUUCUGAAAUGAAAAACCACAAUGUGUUGCAUGAAUUAGAAGAUGCAACAAGUAAAUAACCAUGAUUGAAGCUGCAUCAAACUGGAAUAGCUGCAAGGAUUUUUUAUGGAAAACAAUAAUUCCAAUGCCCAUGGUUUUGGACAAUUACUAAUACAAUAAUUCCAAUGCAUAUUGGGUACCAUUUGUAAGAGGAAAGCAGCAGAAAAUUCUUUAGGGACCUUUCCGUUGUCAAUCAAUUGAUCCUUUUAGUAUUCAAUAUUCAAGCUCUAAAAGCAACAAAGUCAAUAAGUCAAAAGCCAAUUCACCCAAUUGCCCAUGAAGGCGAAUCCAGCUUUAAAAUGCCAAAUUUUCAACUAAAAACUUGCUAGAUCUCAUACAUGGUGCACCCGCAACUUUUAUGGUACGAUAGAAGAAUCAAAACUUUGUGCACUACAGUCACUUAGAAAUUAAGACCUUUUUGAGGGCCCCAGAAAAUCUAUGAUCUUGAAAGAAAUGCUAUAUAAACUUCUGAAAGUUCAAUGUCUCCUUCCAAAAUCUCAUAAUUUCUUUAUUCUCUUCAAGUUUGGGAGAAAUACAAGAAAUCUCACCAUUCAAACAAGGAAUACCGAGUGUAUACUCAUUAUCAACGGGAAGAAACAGCCUUGUGCUGAAUUAAAUAUUACAUACAGCCAUCCUCUAUGACUAGCAGUGUAUCACUUCCAUAAUAUUUACUGUGAUAACCACUUCCCAUCAUUUUGAGUACCCGCUACCCACAUAUUGAGAUCUCUGAUAGAUGACAAUAUUACAUUUGGCUACCUUCAGUCCAUUAUUCGCAAUGGCAUACAUUACCCCCAAAAUGUUUCAGGAAAAAAGAAAAUGAGAUAAGUAUAGUUGAUAUUAAGUACCUCCAUCUGCAAGUAGUCAUCUUUCCACAACUUAUAAAGAAUCUUGAUAGCAUCUUUCUUCUCAACAAACGUGGUAUCUGCAAUCUAUAUAACAAAACAACAAAAAAACUUAAUAUAUCCAAUGAAAUUAAAUUUGGGAUGGAUUAUUUUCCCUCUUCUGACAUGUUAAUUCUCAUUCUAACUCCAUGGUGCUCUAGCAAUCUAGAGAAUGCAGCACCAAGAUCCAGAGAGUUGACUGACUGAAAUAAAAAAAUUUUGUGGUUAUAUUGGAAUGUAGACCACAUCAAAGGAUCAUUUUUACCGAUAGUCAUCAACAUCAAUAAAACAACAACUUGUGCAAACAUUCUUCAGACUGUUUUGGUACAUCUGUUUCGGCACAUCUAGAAAGACUAAUUGUAUGACCUCUAUCUUGAAUAUCACAAGUUAAUAGAAACAACAACGUUUUCAUCGAUACUCAGAUAUUAAGUUUAGAAAAAGAAGGGGGAGAAGGGACUCUAUACAUGAAACCAAUUGAACUAUGUCGUUAUGCAUUCAGGUAGCUAUACAGCAACCAGAUCCUAAAAUAUGGCAGGGCUGAAUUUCAAACCCCCAACCAUGCAUUCAUGAACUUUUAUCUUUUAGAAACCUCUAAAGCUAAGAUCAUUUAACAGGUCAUAUUAUGUCCACAUAGAUACCUUAUCAGUCUCAUGAAGGCGGCCAGACUUCGAAAGGAACCUGAACAUCCUAUAGGCUUCUCUUCCAUAUCGUUUCAAUACAAUAGAUUCCACCUACAGCACACAAAACACAAUUAAGUAUAACUAGAGCACUUUAAUACUAUGAAGACCAAAAAAAGAACGGAGUAAAUUACGGAUAAAGCACCUCUUCAUUCUGAGCCAUGUCAAUUAUGCUCUUCAAAUCUGUUAAGCAAAAUAUGAAUUUAGCAGUACAUAAAACUAAAUCUGUAUAUCUUUCCGGGAGUAUGACUUUCACUAUACACAUAAAUCUCAAUCUCCCCAUGGCAUUCAUAAAAAAUCACAUGGACUUUCAUUGCCAAUUCUACUUCUUGUCAAAACUAACAGACUAAUAGAAAUAGCGUACCAAUGCUAUAUUCUUCAACUAGCAUGGGCAUUUCACAACCCAGUUCAACUAGUGAAGCUCUUAUACGUUCCAAGUUCAUGCCAAGACCCCCUUUCUUCUUUAUCACCUCAUCAUAAAUAUCAUUUAUUGACACAGAAGCUGCAAAUAAAGAUUAAAAAUAAGUCACCUGAGGAAGUGGGUAACACCAUAGAAUAAUGAAAUAAUUGUAGAGAACAAGAAGUUCAGAAACCCCAAGUUUGACAACAUGGAAAACACUCAAACGCCAUAAAAUUAUGUCUCAGGCACAUUGACGACAAUACAAAAGCUCAAGCAUCAUAAAUUUAAAGCUCUUAAACUCAUCAAACUAAAAAAGAUGUUUAAAGCAAUGGACAAAUAUAGAUAAGUCGUCACCUGUGCUUCCAAUGUUCACUUUACUCUCUGAACUUCUAGUUAACUCCAGAAUUGCACCAAGGAUAAUGCCACAUUCAUCAUUAAGCCGAGAUUUUGCAUUGGCAAUGCAAGCCUACACCAAAUACAGAAAAUAUAAUACAUAAAUUUGGACCGAGAAAAGGAACAACGCUUCAGAAAUCUAGAAUAGUAAAUCUGGCACAUCCUUCAAAUCUUCAGCAGGGUUUCUAACCAAUAGACUAUUCAUAUAAAAAAAAAAGAUGUGUCUGAACCAUUUCCAGCAUCCUGAUCAUUUAAACACACAACAAUAAGAUCUGACCUAAUGAGCAAUUUAAUGAGCUGAUGUACGUGCAAAGGAAAAGUUCUCAACCUGAUGCCUCAAACGUCGUAUAAGUUCUUCAAAAUUGACACGCCAAAGGACUUCUUUCUUUUCGUCUUGAUCCAGCAGGCCGCCAUCUGUCUCUAGAAAAUCUUGCUUCCUCUAAGAUUUAGAAAAUAAAAGGUCAGCAAGUGGUGAAACAGGGUAUGCAAGGGAAAACUACUAUACUGACCUUCUCCCCAGUUUUCACAGAGGUAAACUUUUCCUCACUGCUUUUGUCAGAAAAAUCACUCCAAUUGAGUGUUUCAGCUAAAAAUCUUAGUGACUCCAUCGGAGCUGCUGCUGCCAAAGCACGUUGCUCAAUGCUCUCAGAUACAUCACCAACCUGUAUUUAUUUAAGAGAUUCAUUAACCAGAGUAACAAGGAGAAAUUGGAACUCCUGCAAACAUAUUAAACUUCAUGAUAUACUGUUUCUUAAUGCAAGCCCAGUUAGAUAUACAAAUUCACAUGUGAACUAAUGAGAUAGAAUAUCUCUGCAGCAGCUAAACUACCCGUCCUUUUCUUUUUUACUUUCUGGGAAAGAGCUAUUAACAUUAGCAGAAAGCUCAGAGGUAGAUAAGCAACUCUACUAUCUUAAGAGUUCAAAAUGAGGGACAAACAAAUGAAAAAGUAAAACAAACAUCAAGACCUUCAACCUUGCUGUAUUGGUUCAAAUACAAAGUAAAAAGUAUUAUAAAUGAAACACAAGGUUGAAAGGUGAACAUGACUACCUUCGUGGACUUGGCACCUCGCUUCUUAGCAGGAGUUUCUUCGUCGGAGGGUGGAGCAAGAAAUGGUUCAGGAGCAGGGCACCGCUCCACAAAUCGGCCAUUGACAAGUUUAUUAAAGCUUUCUUUUACAUGGUCCACAUCAAAAUUUUCUGGAGAACAAUUAAAAAAAUAAAGAAUAAAAUAACAAAGAAAUGAAAACCACAUAACAACAACAACACAAAAAAGGAAAAAAACACAUAGGAAGUAAUAAAAAAAUGAUAAAUUUUAGUACACAUCCAGUCCAGGGUUGCUCUUUCUUUCUUUUUUUUUUUGAAGGAUUGCUCAUGUUGUAAGAGUUCAAAAAUGUAAUUCAUAUAUUUUUUGAAGGAUAUCAAUAGCAGAACUUUUAAUAGGGUAAUUACGAGUUUAAAACGUUUUCUGGAUGAUUAGGUUCAGCUUCCCCUCUACAUACUGCUUCAAACAUACAAGUUAUAAACUCAGUGAUAGGGCAUUGUGGUCGAUGCAAAAGUUAUAUAAUCUUCCCUUAUGUCCUCCUAAUUGAUAUUCGUCUCCAAAUCCUACACCAACUACUUGCAGGCACAAUUCCAACAACGAGUAAGCAAUUGCACGAGAACCUUCUACUUAAGAAAGAAGAAGCGCAAAUUUGUUGUUCCCUUAGCAUGCAACAAAGAAAUGAACAACAUAAAGCCAAUAAGGUCAAUGUAAACAAUAUACUCAAGGGAAAUGAUAAAAGUUUGCAGAAAGACAGUUUCAUUACCUUCUUUACUCACAGUCUGCUUCUCUCUGUCAACAAUUUGAUUGAAAGAUAGUCUACCAUGUUGAAGUAAAGCUUCAAAAACCUUUUCACACUGUCAAAGCCCAAAAAACAACUCAUCAAAUACGCCCAAAUUCACUCCGAGGACAAAUAAAUCUAAACACAAAAAUAAAUGAAAUAGCUAAACAUAAAAUUGGUACUAACUUCUCCACCAAGCUCAUCUUUUACAAUUGCAAUGAACUUUGGAAACCUCAUGUGGUGGAUUAUGUUGUCAAAUAAAGCCAUGUAGUGGGUUACAACCUUUGGAGCCUCUCCGAAAGCACCUAAAUUCAUUUCAUUAAAAACAGAAGAUUGAAAUUCUCGAAAUUCGAGUUUUAAAACUAUUAACUUCACAGGAAAUUAAAAAGAAGCAACCUAGGAUUUAUAUAAGAGUUCAACCUUCUUGUUGGAUUGAGAAGGCUUGAACGCAGUUUUGAUGGAUCAAGGCUAGUAAACAAUGCCUCACAAUCUCUCGACUGAGUUCGGUGAACCGUAUAAUUUGCGCUAAGGUUAGGGUUCCCCUCCGGAGAAGACAUUCACAAACUUUCUGCCAUAUUAGAAUACCAACAUUAAUUGUCGUAAUCGGGGAAAAAGAACCAGAAGUUUAAUACUACAAAGCGCUACUUCAAGUCAGCAAGAAAGGUGUUCUGUAUUACAGAAUUAUGAUCUCCGUAGAAAGAGGAUACAAGAUAAACGGCAAGUUUGAUGCCGUGCUGCGACACCAUCUCGGCGGCUCUUCGGCCUACUACCUACUCCUCUUUGUUUGCCGCAGGGUAAGUGAAAGAGGCAGCGGUGGGAUUGGCGGAGCAGCCGAAGAUUGAAUUGCGCAAGCAUCCAAGACAACUGGGGUCCAUAGCUCAGUGGUAGAGCUUUUGACUGCAGAUCAAGAGGUCACCGGUUCGAACCCGGUUGGGCCCUUUUUGACUGUUUUUUAAUCAGUUUUUCCGUCACUCCUUAGAUAAUUUGUUGUGCAUUUCGACCGCAGGGGUCCAUAGCUCAGUGGUAGAGCAUUUGACUGCAGAUCAAGAGGUCACCGGUUGGGCCCUUUUUGGCCUUUUUAUAUCAGUUUUUCCGUCACUCCUUAGAGAUAAUUUUUUGUGCCUUUGGACAGCAGGGGUCCAUAGCUCAGUGGUAGAGCAUUUGACUGCAGAUCAAGAGGUCACCGGUUCGAACCCGGUUGGGCCCUUUUUGGCUGUUUAACAUAGAGAUUUUCGGUCACUCCCUAGACACAGUAAUAUGUCGUGCAUUUUGAUCCAAGUACCGGUGGUGGAUAGGCCUGUCAACCCGACCCGAGCUCGCUAAAUUUUUCUGCCAAUGGUAUGAAUAUAUAAUUUCAUUUACUCGACUCGAAUCCAUUUUUCUUAAUAAAAAAUGGGUUUAAUACAAAAUAUUGCAUUUUUUACUUGUAUUCAAUACGGAUCCAUUUAAAUAAAUUGAUAAUUAUAUAAUAUAUACUUAUUAAUACAAUACUACUUAUUAUACAAUAAAUUAAGAAUUAUAAAAACAUAUAUAUUUAUUAUAAAAUUUGAUUCGUAUUCGAUCUGACCUGUUGGAUUCGAAUUUGGAAGAUCAAGUAGAAGAUCCAUUGAGUAUACAGGUCGAAUCCGGAACAUACAUAUUAAAACAUAUUCGGGUUCAAAAUGUUCAAUUGCAGCCUAUACUCGAUCAGUUGACAGGUCUAGUGAUGAUGCCAAAAAAAAUUUCUCAAUGGGGAACAAAGACAUUGCUAGAAUAUCUUGCUUGUUAUUUUCCUCGAUCUUUUUUUUUAUUUAAAAAAAAGGAUAUAUCAAUAUUCACAUAACCAAUAGAAACAAUACAUCUACGUUAUGAUCAACAUAAAAAGGCAUACUCAAAAUUAUGCAUAAAACUAUUACGGUUUGAAAAAUCAUGCAAAGACAUUUAUAAUUGCUCACGAUGAAUAUUUAUGUUUCAUAACUAUUUUCAAUUCCACAAAGUAUAUUUGUCUAACAUUUUAAAUAAAAUCAAUGACAAAUUGUACAAAGUUUGAAGGGAACUAAAUGAGUGAUAAAUAUAACAAAUGAAUCACAUGCGAUAAAAAAAAUUCCAAAUGAACUAAACAGCUGGACUCUGUCAUUAAAAGCAUUUUUGGUUAUUUAGUAUCCAUUUCAUUCCUAAUCAUUUUAGUGGGGCCAAACAUAAAAUUUUAUUUAAUCAACAUGGGUGAUAAGGAAAAUUCUGGGGAUUGUAAGAGCCCGUGUCCCAAGUACCGUCUCUUUUCAUCCUCUACUGCUUCUUGCACUCGAAAACUAACAUGCACUGAGAAAUCAUAUUGCACUAAAUUGCACGCCAUCGCAAAAGGAUACCUAAUUUUGUAUUAGUUCAAUAGUAAUUGAGUUAUCGGGGAAAAAUAAAAGAAGAUUGUAUGUAAGAUCUUAUUUGAUAAUUCAAUUCAAUAUUUAAAUUUAAUAAAUUUAGAUUUUAAUAUGUUUAGAUGCAUUUGAUAAGCUAUAUGUCCCGGAUAGCGGUGUCAACAAGUCAGGUUCGGAUCGGAAUAUAAAAAUUUCGGAUCGGACACAUUUUUAUGCAGUAGAUCAGGACCUGAUCCGUAUACCUAACAGAUAUUGACCUUAGAGUUUCGGAAUUGAGUCCGACGGGUCCGAGUCUAUCCAAAAAGAAAAAGGUCCAAAAGUUAAACAUUUAAAAAUUAAAUCCAAAAUCAAUCAUGAAUCCAAUCUCCAAACUUAAACAAAUCAUAUUACAAAAUUAAAUCACAAAUAACUCGCAAUAGUCAAUUCAAAACUGAUCACAAAUCAAUCAACAAAAUUAUUAAUUUGAUAAAAGAAUGUAUUUAGAAAUAUAUAUUUAUUUUAUAAAUAUUAAUAUAUUAUUCGGCUUCGGAUCGGAUACGAGUCAGAAUCUUAUAUUCUGUAUCCGACCCCUUUUUUUGUUAGAGUGAACGGAUCCGGAUCCAGGUCCAGGUAACGGAUUUAAUUUUCAACCCAAAGCCAAAAAAUUUUAUUAGAUCCAGAUCCAGACCCGACCCGUUGACCUAAACCCGGAUGCGAACUAAAAAUUCUCCACUGAUAGAUAGUAAGCAGAGAGACACUUGAAAAAUUGUCCAAGUAGAAACUAAUUAUAUAAUUUCGAACUUCUCUUUUAUUGGCUAGAAGAGGAAAAACCAAGAAGUUUUUGUUAUGCCAGAGACAUGAAUAAAGAAAGUUCUUUUAUAUCUGGAGGGCACGUUAUAAGAACUAGGCAUGUUUAAAUUUUCCGUAAAAAUUUAAAUCUCAGCGUUAAUAUAUCCUCAAUUCGUGGGUAAGCUACACUUUAUUAUAGGCCUACCCUUUUGUUUUUGAGUAUUUAUCUUGUACAGUUUUCGCAGCUGGCAAAAAUUACCAUGAAGUUCCUUCCUAUUCAGAAGUUUUUCCACGCUUGUACUUGGACCUUUAUAAAAGAAAAAAGAAAAGAAAGAACAAAGGCAUGCACAAUCUCGUAACAAUUCUAUGGAGUAAUGGAACCCAAAUUUUUUGGCAAGUUUAUCAGCUAUAAAUUUUUUAAAAACUUUAACUACAGUAAUCUAAAAAAACGUUUCAAAAAUUUUAAACUAUACAUUUCAAAAUAUUCAAAAAUUUACACACUUCAAAAAUUUUUUUAAAAAACUUCUACAGUGCGCUACAAUAAAGUUUCAGACAAAUUUUCAAAAAAACUCACAUUUCAAACGGGGCCAUUGUUGUAACGGACUCUCUUCUUUUAUUUAUUUAUUUAUUUUGUCGAACGCAGACAAUCUACUUUACUCAACUGGACUCGUUACAAUUCUGUGGACUAUGCAACGGACUCGUUACAAUCUACUUUACUCAACUGAACUUGUACGACGAGACAAGAGGUUUCUAUACUAAACAAAUAUACUACUGCACUCUUUAGUUACUUUUUAAAUUUUUCGAUGAAAGAAGCACUACAUUUUCUUUUAAUCUACUAGAUUGGAUUUGAAACCCUCACAUACGGCUCUCCCUUUCUUUUCUUUUUUUUUUCGCCCCUUUGUUUGGUAGGAAAAAGACCGUAAUAUAAUUAAACCACGUCAGUUACAAUCAUUCGAGUAUAGCAUCAAGUUUUCCUCCAAAAAAAAAAAAUAAAAAAAAGAAGAAGGUACAGGAUCAUAUAGUUGGUCGUGGUAAUGGGCAUCUCGCUUUUAGAGAAUACAACAGAUCCUGCAGCUCAGUAAGCACGUGAAAGGUGUAAGUGACUGAAAAGUAGUACGUGUAGCAAUCAAUUCUAUCCUGGAUUCAGGCCGUUGAUUUUAGGAGUCCCGGCAAAAGCAGGCAGAGAUUUCACGACAUCAAUAACCAACGUUUCGAAUUUUGGUUGGUCGGGGGGAUGAAGAAUGUUCGUACUGUUAAAUUAAAACAAGAUCUAUGGACAAAAGCCAAAAGGACUGCUCUUUGUGGCUUCUGACCUAACAAAUAUUUCAGCCCCGCCCUGCCCCGCAAAUAACGGAAGAUAAACUGACCCCAUUCCUACAGCCUACAGGCUUGAAAAUUUCCAGAAUGUUAGGCGCCUUACACUCGAUCAAGUAAUAAUUAAAUGGUCCAUCGGUAGCCUCCUCCCACAGAGACCGAGAGGUCCCGAGUUCGAGCCUCAACUCUGCUGAAUUUUUCCUCGUACUUAACAUGCUAGGAUCGGAUUGGGGCGCUAGGCCCAGACCGCAGGGGAUUAGUCGGACCUCGUAAGGAUUGACCCGCACACCCCUGUGUCGAAAAAAAAAAAGAGAAAGAAGUAGUAAUAAUUAACCAAGAUCCCAAAGUAUCCAAUUUCUUCCGUCGAGGACCUGCCGGUCUUAAAUCAUACCAACUCUUAACAUAAUUGGUAUUACUUAUCAUUUACCCGACGAUCUUGGAAUUCUGGCCGUCCCGUCAUUGUUGACCGUUCUAGACCAAAUCAACUCAUUUUGCAGUCAAAUCUUCAAAUUAAAAAGUUUUCUUUUCCUCUUCAAAAUUGAAAAUGUACUCGUGGAUUUGGCUUCUAAGAAUGCUCUCUCUUUAUUCAUUCGUCCAUCUUUUUUGUUAUCACUAACUAAACACAAACUUCUUGAUGAAUGCUCUCUCUUUAUUCAUUUGCCCAUUUGUAUCUUGAUGUACGAGUCAUUCAUAUGAAAAUAAUGAGCGAGGUUGAUGGGAAAAUAUUUAUCUCGAUGAAUGAGAGUCAUUUAUACAAAAAUAAUGAAUGAGGUUGAUGGGAAAAUAUGUCCCCAACGUUACUUAGUCUAUCGAAAAGAUGCAAUUACUUAACGUGUUCGGGCCGAGUUGGGGCGUCGGGUCCGGAUCGCAAGAGAUUAAUCGGGUCUCGUAAGAAUUGAUCCGGACAUCCCUGUGUCGAAAAAAAAAAAAAAGAAGAAGAUGCAAUUACAUACGAUGUGUCAAAGGUACAUAAUGAUCCAUUUAAAUUUUAGUAAAAUACAAGACAAUGGUAUCUCAAUUAUUACUUGAAUUAUUAAGGAUUACCAUCUUCAUGUGAAAAUUCACAUGUUUGGAAGUAUGACCGCUAAUUAAGGAUACUCACUCCAUCCUCCAUUAUAGUGAAGAGAUCGUAAUAAUCCCUUGCCACAACUAACUUAGUCCCCGACCACGGCAAUUGAUUAUAGCAGCAUCUUAUUGAAUGAGGGACGUGUGGCGUAUCCCCGUUGGUAACCAGAAACGUGGCAAAUUGGUCUCCAUGCCUGAGUCGGGCCAUGCCAAAGUCAUCCUGAUUCGGGGAAUAAGGGUUUUCAUUUCAAGAACUCGAAUGCUGUCCUCCCAACGUAUCAGCCGGAGCUUACGGAAAAUAGGAGAGAGUCCGCAAAAAUUUUCAAUUUUGGUCUCCGGUUUUGAAUUCUAGUCACAUGUAUCAUCAUCAUCAUCAAACUAAAGGUCAAAACUCCCUUUUCUUGGUGUGUCAUCCUAUUCUGCGAUUUCCACAAUAAGUAGGCAAGGCCGCCCCCCCCCCCCCCCGGAUCUGAUCUGGCAGGCUAGAUCAGUGGGUAGUUAUUGAGCACGCCGGGCGGGUAGAGUACGCCAUUAAUGGCGGUGUCUAUUAACCCGUUAACUGCCAACCGUAGUCUAUUCUCAACGGGGACAGUCGACUAAAGUCAUGAGCACUAUUCUUCCGGGUCCCGCAGCAUUUUCCUUUCAACGAUUUCUGAAAGCAGAGUCGAGUCUUGUACUUUUCACAAGAAGUGGUGUGAACUCAACUCAACUGCUCAAUGCUUGACCGCAUUCAGUUAAAAAAAAGAACUCAAAAACAGAGAUCAGUAUUGGGUUACAAUCUAAACCCCUAUAAAUAACCGAAGAAUCUCUUCACCAGUCCUCACCACAACAACAAUAUUUGAAGCCACCCCUCCUUCCAUUUCUCUACCUAAUAACUUCGCAAGUUAUUGCCAUGGCUCCAAGCAGUAGCAGCCUGAUUGUUUUCGCCUUCAUUGCUCUUGCAUGCGCCCUCUGCGUGCAAAGCACUAGUGGUCAGUUCAUCUCCUGGAAUAUACAAUGAUAUUCACAAUCCAAACUUCGUUCGUUGCACAAUAAAUAUACUACUCCGUAUUAUAUUGUAUUUGAUAUGCAUAUGUAGUUCUUGCAUUGAUAUGGGGUAUUGCAUGCAGGAAACAUAGCUUGCGAGGACCUGAAGGAGGACUCUUGCGCCUAUGCGGUGUCAUCGUCGGGAAAGCGCUGCGUGCUGGAGAAGCAUGUCCGCAGAAGCGGGGAGGAAAAGUACACGUGCCGCGCAUCAGAUAUCGAAGCCGAAAAACUGAAAGACUGGAUCGAAACGGACAAAUGCAUUGAAGCGUGCGGGGUUGACAGGCACGCACUUGGAAUUUCAUCUGACUCUCUUUUGGAGCCUCAGUUUACCCACAAGCUCUGCUCUUCCGCCUGCUACCGCAGCUGCCCCAAUAUUGUUGAUCUCUACUUCAACCUCGCUGCCGGUGAAGGUAAGUAAUACUUCACUGUCCAGAUCUCCUCCCUCUUCCCAUUACCCGGCCGGCCACUGAAAUCUGUGAAAAUACCAGCAUCCUGCAUUAAUUAAUGCGUCGCCAUUUGAUGAUGAUGUUUUCCAUCUACAUAAAUGUAGGUGUGUAUCUUCCGAAACUGUGUGAAGCGCAGAGGGGUCAUGGGCGCAGAGAAAUGGCGGAAAUCAAAAGCUCCGGAAUGGUGGCACCAGGACCAGAAUCGGAUGGUGGGAAGCCUGUGAGCUUCUACAUUGUUGCCCCGGCACCCCCUCCUUAUUAAUCAUGAGAUGGGAGGCACAAUAAAGAACAUGUAGUCGUAGAUGGAUAAUUAAUUACACAGCAGUGUAUACCACACCAAUAAUAGAGGGAAGUUGUUGCAUGGGUUGGAAGCUCAUCCUCUUCUCUGCGUUCUUGAGUAUUGUAAUGGUACAACGUUAAAAGCAUAAAACUAAAAGAGAGAAUAGUAGCGUAUUUUUUUUGCAUGGAGUGUACUCUUAUGAGAUGUACCGUAGUAGAUUAGAUGCAAACGUACCGUAGAUUUGGACUCCGGUUGCGUACGUUGACUAUUUUGUUCGUCGAACGAAAUAAAUAAAAAAAAAGUCAUGAUAUUUGAGUAUGGAGCAUUGCUUUGAUUUUAGAUUUCAGUCAAUCCGGGAUCCAUUAUUCUCACCAUCCAAGGGAACGCGAAACUUGGUCUCCUCUCAUGUGUUCAACGGUCAAUUAGUUUACUUCUAAUUUUACUCAAUCAAAUCAAAUCAAAUCAAAUCAUGUAAGGUGAUUCUAAAAUUUGACCCCUGAUGUCGCAUAAGAAACGUUAGACCGUCAAAAUUUGAACUCUCUUCUUUUAAAAUUAGAAUAUUUGUCAAUUUUAAUCCGAAGUACUAUUAUAAGCUUUGCUGUCAAAGCAAAGAUCGACAACUUUGUCAAAAGGACAAGGGGCACAAACGGUUGCAGGUGCAAUCGUUUCUGUCGAUUGUAUGUAUUUUUUAUUAUGCGUAACUUUGAUUGCACACCAUGUAAUUUUUUUUGCACACGACGUAAUUUUAGAACAAAUUUUUAUGAGUUUCACAUACAACGUAAAAAUCGAGUUACAAAAUAUAAUCUGAAUCGCAUAAAAUUUUUUGACCAAAUCAUGAUCGUCAGCUGCCUCAACCGUUCCUACCCCAUUUCCCAAAAUUGAGGUGCGUAUUGGCAAACCCAAAAUCGUCAGUCUCCUCCUGCAAAGCAUUUCCUCUUCUUUUGAUGCCUUAAGACCAUCGUUCUUUUUUCUCUCAGCGUUGAUUGCUCCUCCUUCACCACUAUCUUUCAGCUGUAAAAUCUUUCGACAAAAAAGGAGGUAAUUUCAUCAGCCUGUCUCCACACGCGGCAGCUGGUCCCUUCGGGGACAUCUGUCGUCUGAAUACACGGUAACUGGGGAGGAGAUGAUUUCGGCGCUAACCAUGCACCCAGUAAGACGCAGCCAUAUUAUAUUAGUAGUUUAGUACUACUUUACCAUUUGCAACACCACUGAAGAUAUCGACAUUAAAAAAAUAAAAAUAAAAGAUGAAGCACUCCAUCCUCGUUCAUUAUUGUUGAAAAUGAAAGGAAGACCUAUAACCUAGACUUUAGGAACAUUUAAAUGCCAAAAUCAAAUUACUUUUAGUGCAUUGUAAAUUAUAUUUAGAGUUUAUCUUAGUGUAUAUACUAUUAUCGUUAAAUAUAUGUUAUGUAUGCAAAAAAAAAAAAUUGAUAUUCAAAUUCAAGUUGAAAUUAAGUGACAGGUAUUCAAAGGUCAAAGUGUAUAUAUACUGUCAGCACAUAUAAGAUUAAUCUUUAUAAUUUUACAUUAUUCUUGUGAAAAACCUCGACACUUUUGACUACAAUGCCUUAAAACUUCAAAAUAUAUCCUUAUACUAUAUAAGAAUGAGUUAAGGGCAAAGAUUUCAACCGCAAGGGUGAGGUUAUUUUGGGAAUAGUAAAUGUUGUGUAUUAGCUUAAAAGCUUUAGGUGCAACUUAACAAAGCAUGUAUUUGGAUAUGUUUACUAAAAUAACCCCGUUUCAUUACAUUUAAAGUCCUCAUUGAUGAGCCAUCUGGGUAUUGAUGGAAUGUAUAAUGAGUGUACAACUGUUUUUGCACUUUGUACACCCCAUAUAUGUUUGUGUGUUGGUGUAAUUACUGGAAUACCCUUAGCAAUCAAUUAUUCCUCUAGACGGACAAGUAAACGUUGCUUCGCCGUGGGAAGAGGCGCCAUUGAAAUCCUCCGCUGUCUGAAACGUUCCACUCCUUGCCGGGCUGUUAUUGAGUGUUAAUUGUUAUGAGUGUUAUGAGUGUUAAUGGCUGCCGAACUGUUAUCCCCUUUACGAGCGCCCCACGUAAGUCCGUUUCCCCCCGUUCAGCUUCAGUCUCUCGCCGAGUCCCUUUACAAAGGCCUGCCGCAUCGUUUCCUCUUCCAGGUUUCAAUUGCUUAGUCUCGACUUCUGUUAGCUAGAUGAGAUAAUGCUGUAUGCACUUUACUCUGAAAUUACCUAUCUUGUGGCCGCGUUUCACGCCCCAAAUGCCUUACUUGCUUGUUAGGGCUGCUAAUGAUUGGAUAGGGGAGGCGUGAGAGUUCAAAUGGGGCUUACACAUUUCUUAUGCUCUCCAAUCCUGCUGUAAUUAUAUUGAUCACCCUAUUUUCCCCUUAUUAAUUACACCCCAAUUUAAUUUCCGAACCGUGGGUAUGUUAAUGCCCAGACGGUUGAUGCUCAGGUACCCCCUGUUCGCAUUCCGGGAUUGGGUUACUUCUUCGUGGCUCCAUAGUAAGCAGCUCAGAAUGUUCUUCAGCCGCAGCUAUACCUGGUGGUUCAGCUUGAGGUUAGAUUCCACCCCUCCCCCCAAUUUUCCAGUUCUACCCUUAUUUUUGUGAGUGUGUUCUUAGAACCUGCAAUUAGCAACUUUUAUUGCGUUGCCUAACUGCUGCCCUCUGUAAUUUGACUGGGUUGGCUAUGAUCUUAUAGGUUUGGAGCAACAGCAAGAAAGAGCUCUCAAUGGGGAUUUUGGCCUAAGGUUAGCUUUCAGCGUACCUCUACCUUUUAGUAUUACCACCGACCUUGAAUUUGCUACCGUUCUAAUGUUGAACUGCCUUGCUGUUUUGAAAAGGGUAGCUUUCUUGCUCCAAUGAUUAUAUCGUUUAUUGUUGAUUUGGGUGUGCAGUUUUGACUUUACUUACUGCUAAAUAUGUUCCUUAUUUUAUUUUAUAUUGUAUGAGAAUCAAAUUGUUAUGUUGUAUUCCAAUCCCGACAUUGCUAUGCAGUUAAUGGCAACUUAAUCUAUAUUGAGAAGAAGCUAUAUGGGGCUUGCAUACACUAAUUUGUGAAAUGCAAGUUCGUCAGAGUCUAUAUGUAGAGAAUGCUUGCUAAACCUGUUAAUUAACUCCGAAAUCUCAAUCCUUACUUCAGUUUCCCUCUUAUUCUUGUAAUCUCCAAAUUUAGCCGCAAUUUCUCUGCUGUUACACCUGCACCAGUCCUCUCCCAAUCUUAAUGCAGAAUUGAAGCCUUUAAAUUGGCCUCAAAGUUGCCUUUUCUUACAUCCUGCCUCAUAUUUAUCUCACCCUUGCAAUCUCCAAUUCAGCCAACACUGCUGUGCAAUCACACUUGCACCCGUCCUCUCCUGAUGUUAAUGCAGAAUUAAGGCCUUUUACUUGGCCUCAAGGUUGCCUUUUCUUGGCCUCUGCAUAAGUAAUAUGAACCUUUUUACUAGGUUUAUACAAUUAAGUCAGCAACCAAUAGGAACUUUUGUGAACAAAUUCAGAUAAUCCUUUACGAGCUCUGAUCAUCAUUCAACAUUCACACUGCAAAGAUCAAAGAUUUAUUAAGUCUCAUCUAGGCUUCGGCUCUUUAACUCGAGCUCCAAACUAAUAAAGCCUAUGCUUUCUGGAAAAUUUAUAGAAGAAAGCAGACCUAAUAAGUAGACAGGUAGCUAGGAAUUUAGCCAACGAGGUGCCUGUACAGUUUGAGAUUAUACAUAGGGCAGGGGAUAUAGAAGUUUCAGCUUAUAACAGCCACUGGUCUAGCUUCUCCAACAGCCACGGGUCUGAUUUCACCACCUCCUUCCCCUGUCAACCAUGCAUGCAUGGAUGCCCUGAAAUAACAGAUCAGAGGAUCAAAAUUACAGUUAAUUUAUACCGAAAGUUAAUAAUAUAUGGAAUUUCUAGACCAUAAAUUAAUCCUUGCAUUUCGAAGAUAUCAAGAUAAGGAGUAAGAAGUGACAAAGUAAUUUAAGUUGAUCUAAAAGGUCUGUUAAGUUCAUUUCUGGAACUCAGAAAUCCACUCCCGGAAUGUUUAAACUCAUACUAACCCUCCAUAAUGUUAUACGUCUCUCUUUUCCUCUGCUUAAAAGGACAACAAAUUAUGCAUAGAUUUUUGUGCAAAAAUAGUAACUGUUGUUAAUAGAAAAAGUCAGCGUCAAGAUCCUUAUUCAAGGAACAGAAGAGAUGAUCACCAUUGUGUGUACAGACUACAGCAUCAAUCUUUCAAUAGGAAUUUUUUUAAUACUUGGGUUUAUACUCAUUUUCUCAGCAUCAAUCUUUAAAUGAUGAGUGUAUGACAAUGGUAUUUUUUUUAAUAUAAAAUUUUAGAAACUUGAAAAUAGUAUGGAAAAUGAUUGAUGAUAUUUUCAAAAAAUAACCAUGGUUCCCUGCAAAACUAACCACAGUUACGAAUUAAAUAUUGGAAGUGACCUCAGAUAAGGAAUCUUAAAGAAAUAGUUAUGCUAAGAAAGGGGAAAAUUAAGCAUUUAAUUGGAAAGGCUAAUAGCUCUUUUAUUUUCUUUCAUUUUUUCCCUAUUUCUUUUGAUUUCUGUUUGUAUUUCUUAAAUAUUGGAAGUGACCUCAGAUAAAGAAUCUUAAAGAAAUAGUUAUGCUAAGAAAGGGGAAAAUUAAGCAUUUAAUUGGAAAGGCUAAUAGCUCUUUUUUUAUUUUCUUUCAUUUUUUUUCUAUUACUUUUGAUUUCUGUUUGUAUUUGCUAAAAAGACAACAUAUACAUAAGGACAAAACUUAUGAAAAAUAGAAAAAUUGGGCAGUAAGCAUUUAUUAAUAAUCCGGAGAGUAUAGUUUAAAUUGUUCAAUUAGCUAAAUACCCAAAGCAAUCAUGACUUAAAUCGUAAAGCAAAGUUUGACUAGAAAAUAAGUAUACUAAAUUUUCAUUCAACUUAAUUCUACUCAUACGAGUUAGUGCUAUAAGAUUUUUGUUUUUGACAAUUCAAUUUUGAUAACAAAUAUGUUAAUUAUAUUGUUUUAUGUAAGAGAAAAACAUUUUAAUUUUAGUUGUAGAUGAUUAGAAAAUGGCCAUGAAAAUAUAAUUUUGCUGAUGAAAAUAGUAAAAUGACGACAUUAGUAUAGUUGACAUUGUUCAUAAGAUGCUAAAGUUAACACCAACUUAACUGCCACUAAAUCUGACUCUGAAGGAUCCAGCCUAUCCCACCGUCCACUUUCCUACUCACCCUUUGGUCUGGACAACAUGUACUUAAUUAUUUCUGAACUAGAGACCAAGUAAACGUAAAGGCUAUGAAGGGAAUGGAUAGGCAUAGGCCAGAUUAGAUGUCUUGACUAGAUAUGUAAUUUACUACUGAACUUGAUACAUAUCUGUUGAUUGUUAUGCUUAAACAUUCAGAAACAUGAUUUAUCCGUGUGAUCUUGUGCCUUGAUUGUUAUCUAGGAUAGCGAAUUCCUAAAUAAUAUAUGAUGGCGGACAUUUUUGUUGUUAUUAUUAAUACCUUUAUUAUAAAAGAUGUUUCACCCCCAGGAAAACCUUUAGGAUGUAUAAUUAUCGCGGUCUAAAAUGACUACACUAAGUAAAGAUAACAAGUUGGAAGAGCAAAAGCGACGGCGAAAUGAGAGAGCAAGGGCUAAAUAUGCAUCGUUGUCUGAAGAAGAAAAAGAGCGACGGCGACAAAAACGCCGAGAUGCUCCCAACCAAUUUGGACAACUCAUCUUCUACAAAGUCCAGUGAAGGAACCAGUGAUGCAGCACCUGCACAACAAAAGGACGGCACCGCCAAGAAGCAACGCAACUGAGUACCUAAGGCUGCCCAUUACGGACACCAUAACUAUAAUAAAGGCUGCAAUCUAAUACGCUUGCUAUUAAGGACACCAUCACAGUUUCGUUCAAAGGCUGUCUACUACUAUUGCUAUGACUAAAUAAGGGACUCCAUGGAGCCAGACCUACAGCAACAACUCUCUUUCUUCACUCCCAUCUUUCCUUUAUGGACUAUUACUACUGUUCAACUUCUCCUACUUUAUGGACUAUUUCUGGUUUGCAACAGUAACUGCUGCUCAUCAUUUGAUGUUUAUUUCUUCUCACAAUAUAUUAUUGUUUGUUUCACAAAGCAACUUUCUUUCCCACAGGCACCAAACACCCGCGCGAUGCGCGGGCACUCCCCCCUAGUAUAUAAAAAAAUAUUGACAGUGGUUAAAGUCGUAAAGCUCUGCCAAAAGAACAAAGAUCGAAUCCAAACAUAAUAAACAGGUCCAUACCAUAAAGGGUAGUAUUUUACUCAGAACUACUAAAUAAUCCAUACUUACACAGUAUGCAUAUAAUCAUCACUAUUAAGAAAAUUCUUUAUUGAGUAAUAUCGUUUGCCUUUUAACAGUUUACAAUGUUAAUAUUAUCAUACGUAUGUUGUGAGAGUAACGGACAUAUACAUCCGUUAACAUGUCCAUAGAAAUCCUUGUAGAUACAUGUAUCUAGUGAAAUGAGGUAGAUUUUGGGAUAGGGGUGGAGUUAGAAAAAAAUUCAGUAGGAACAAAUUUAGCAUGUUAAAUUAUAUGUUAAAUUGUCCCACUUUCAAAUUCUAAAUCCCUAGUAGAUGAUUUUGUCACUUUUCCUAUCAAAUUCAUUAUAUAUUUUCUCUUUUUUGUGAAGGUGAAAUAACAAGAAAGCAAGCAAUUUUGGUGAAUUUCGAUGUGUAGAAGAAAAAAAAACGUGGACAACUUUUCGAAUAGAUUUGUGCUUAAGAAGGAGAAUAAAAAUAAGCAUAAAAUUGACACCUUGUUGGUUGGUUAUUAUUUAACCGUGAGAGGUGAAAUGGAUUUCUUUUUUAUUUUUAAUCAAUUUAUUUGGCGUGGACAAAGUGAUAAAAAAAAAAGAAUAACAUUAAUUAAAUAUCUUUAAAAAAAAAAAGGAACUACAAUAUUCUCUAACUACUGGGGCCGGGCAAAAAUUGAUAGGUCAGUAGGGGCAAUUGCUGUCAUAUAAUAAAGGAUAGUACCAAGAUAAACCUACUUUUAUAAAUUUCUGAUGGGAAUUGAAAAUUUUUUUUAAAAAAAUUAUGUCACAUACAUCAUAUUUUAAAAGUAUCAUAAUAAUUUUUAAAUUUUUUUUUUUAUAAAAUACAAUCUAAAUGGAGUCAACGUAUCCAAUUUUUUUUUGUUUCUCACUUUUGUUUUUAGGAUUACAUGUUAAACUUCGAUUAGAUUCUUACCAUAGUUUUUCUAUUUAGAUACAGAAUCAUUUAUCUUAAAAAAUAUUUUACUUCAUAAUUCCCAAUCCUUGUACAACAAUUAUUACAACGAUAAGUUAUGAAAGGUUAUUGAUCCAUUGUAUUGUAGCGUAUAAGAUCCAGUGUCCACUACAAAUUUUUUUUGUUUUUCUCCUAUAUUUGAAGGCACGUGAGUUGGAACUGCGUUUUGUUCACCGAAUUGUGGCCGGAAAUAGGAUUUGGGACCAAAAUAAUAAUUGCACCUUGAAUAUGUAAGAAAUGAUUUUGCCCUAUUCGUACGUGCGGGACCAAAAAGAGACUUUCCAGAAAUGUGAGAAAUCAUUCAGGUGAUUUUACCCAUCCUUUUAUUUGUAGCAGUCCAGGACAAGUUCAAAUUUGGGCUGAAAAGAAAAGUUCAAUUUGGGCUACUCUUUAGUGACAGUUCAUUGAAUGGGUCAAGGGAAGAUUAAAUGAAAAUUUUAGGUUAGGAGAGACCAGUAUUGAAAGUUGGGCCAGAACUGCUCUGGGCUACAAUUGUAAAAUUUCUUUGAUGGAAGGCCAAAGCCCAAUAACCCAGUGCCAAUGCCUAGAGGUGCUUUUUUAGUCUUUGCAACGCAACUGUCAUUUCCUGAAGGUUUCGUUGUCCAGGUGAAGAUCUGUGGCAAAUUAUACACCACUCCUCAAUCGCCCACUAACUACACACGCAAGCACAUACGACUUGCAAUUUGUUGUAAAGCUGAGAGCCAGAGACCAAAUCCGACUUGGUCUUCGCUUCACGAGAAUCAAACGCGUUUACUCACGCGAGCCAUGUUGUACUUUGACGCCACCCCCGCAAAAAACCAAGCUUACUUUUUAAAAGCGUCAGCAUGUGUUUGGAUAUCAAAAUUAUCUCAAAUAAUAUUUCACUUACAUCACAAAUAUAUUUCUCAACUUACCUUUUUAUAUUUUCAACUACUUUUUAUCUCACAUAUAUCACAUCACAAAAAAUGCUACAGUAAUUAUUUCAAAUAAUAUUUCAAAUAACACACUAUCCAAACAAACCCGACAUGCUCUUUAUUCAACGAAAUGGAUUAUUAAACUUGGAAGAGAAAGUACAAGUGAAGGUUGUUCACUCUCAAAUCCCAAUCCUUUCACUUAUCUUGAGAAAAAAAAAAAAAAGAAGCUUCGAAGGCUUAAAAUAUCUCAUCUCGUUAACUAAAGAAAAAAAAAUCCUACCAAAAGACGUUUCUAUGAGUUUUGCCAAUUUCAGGUGAAAUGACUGCACAAUGUCAAUUCAAACACUUCGUCAAGCACAUCCCAGCUAUACUGUACUUCAAGUCACUCAAAUCAUGCAAUUAAAUAAGGACAGUUUGAAUUGUCAUUUUUAAAAAAAAUUUAGAAAAAAUAUAUUGUAAUAAUUUAGUAUGUAUAAAAUAAAAAGAUGAUUAAAAAAUAUAUUAACAUAAAAAAUUUUUUGCAAAAAAUCACAAUCCAAAUGUUUCAUAAGUCGUGAUGCGUUCAAGAUAGAUUAUUAUAGUCCUUCCCUAUGUCAUAGUCAUGCUAUUACUGGCAAGUUUAUCAUUUUCCCUUUCGAUCAUCAAUUAAAAUUUUUCUUUGCCCGGUUAUAGAUGAAGAAUAAGCAAAAAAAAAAAAAAGAUUUGUUUUCUACAUCUAUCCAUCAAAUAAAAAAAAAGAAGGGAUUAUUCGUUCCUACAAUGUAUAUACUAACAAUGCAUGUUGUAAGGACUUGAAAUAUUAUCUCAAUAAAGAUUUCUUCCUGAUAUGGAUAUUCAAUAGAUAGGAGCUCGACAAAAUCCUCUUAUUGCUGAAUAGAUAUCUCAACCAUGCGAGUUCAAAGUCCUAUAAUUCGCUGAAUUGGUAUCUCGACAACACAGGUUCGAAGUCCUAUAAUUCCAACAAAAAGAAGACAUGAAGAGACAGGGUUUUUUCCCCAAUGUCACUUUGAUGCUCAAGUUGUUUCUGAAAUAUGAAACAGUUCGACUUAAGAGUAAGCAAGAAUUCAGUUACCUCAAUAAGGGAGGAAAAUGGAGUAUUUAUAUUAGUAUAAGAAAGUUGUGAGUCAUUGGCAGCAAAGCUUAUAGGAUGAGGUCUUAGAGAUUGAAGAGGUGAUUCUCGUUCGGUCAAGCCCCGCUAAUUGGAUGAGGCGACUUUCUUGGCAAUGGGGUGCCAGGUUGAAGGAACCCACCAGUCAAAUUCACUCUAGACGGGGCUUUAUCCCCCGGUCUAUCUCCGACCAUCAAGUCAGUUCAGAUACAUAUUUAUAUUUAAAGACAACGUGAUUUGGAUAUGAGAGUACCUUCUGAUAGUAUAGAUUUCUUAGUCUUAGUUUUGUAUCCCUCUUUCCUUGAUAGGAGAAAGGGUAUUUAUAGGAGACAAGUUGGUAGGAAGAAUGAUGGGUUUCAAUUCCCAAGGGUCUGACACCGUCUGGGACAUGUCCAAUCCCAAUGGACAGGAUGCAGCAGUGGUCAUGUCGUGUCAAUACCUUGUCAACCUGUUAUGUAUAAAUCAGUCUUUUCAGAAAAAUGUCAGGCACCAGUACAUGGACAGUGGUCGAGUCUAGGUAAUGCUGCCGUUGGGAGACCAACCUCAGCUACAUAGAAGAGGCUAUGAGUCGAGACUGCUCGAAUCCAUAGAAAGUCGCCCCAUGGUUUGAGUCGGGUCGAGUCGAAAUGACCGCCUUCAAUAAGCCCCUCAAGCCUCAGGAAUGGGAAGUUCAUCCUGUCUCUUGACCUGAGACUCUUUUAUGCAGUAACUGUAGAACGUGGCAUAUUCUAAAAUAAUGAGACGCCAAAUGUGGACACGUUGGUUAGCAGGACAUAGGAUGAUGGGACGGUUAUUAGACUGAAUGACAUAGUGUUAGAAUGUGGAGAGAAGCACGGAACGGUUGUCAGAUGAACAGUCAGGCAUGAAUGGAGAGAGAGAAGGCACAUCUUUUGAAAUUUAAAACUGCCGCCCAUUCAUUUUUUUUUGCCCUUAUAAAUAGAGAAUCCUUUCACCAUUUAUUUACGGUGAUAGAAAGUUACGGUAGUUAGAUAAGAGCAGUCAACCGAGACUAAUUUGUAGUAGCCGACAUCAAUUUCGCCUCAGAAAAAAGUAAGCUUGUUUUCUUUUUUAAAUAUGGUCUGAGUAGCUCGCACGCAUAAGGAGACGAUGAGACCAGAUUUCGGAAGAGCGAAAAGGCCCGACCUAUUCAAAGAGGACAAAAGUACCUCGUAUAGUCCAGGAGAGGAGACAGCUGAGAUAUCUCAAGAGGCCGGGAUGUCACAAUAUGCCGGCGAAGAGGAAUCUGAGACCCAAUAUAAUGACGGUCUCGAAUCCAAAAUACUACAUGAUGAGAGAGUGAUGGAGCCAGCGGCCAGGCCGGAUCUCACCAGGGUAGAUUUCGGCCAAUUACCUCUUUUCAGAAGUACAGUUGGCUUGACUGAAACGAAUGCCAUGAUAUGGAGGUAUCGUUUCCGACAGGGUUACGGUAUUUAUCCCUUCAGGGCUGACCAGUCGGCCGAACUACCCCCUAAGGUGAGAAUAGCUAUUUACACAGAUCAAUUAGAAGUCGGGUUGAAAAUGCCUACCACGAGAUUUUUCCAGGACAACCUAUGGUAACUAGAUGAGGCGAUUUUCUCGGCAAUGGGGUACCGGGUUGAAGGAAUCCACCUAUGAAAUUCACUUUAGACAGGGCUUUAUCCCUCGUUCUAUCUCCAACGAUAAAGUCAGUUCGAAUACACGUUUAUAUUUAAAGACAACGUGACUCAUAUAUAUGAGUACGUUCUGAUAGUAUAGAUUUUUUACUCUUAUUUUUGUAUCCCCCUUUCCUUGAUAGGAGGAGGGGUAUUUAUAGGAUAUAAGUUGGUGUGAAGGAUGAUGAGUUUCAAUUCCCAAUGACCUGACACCGUCUGAGACAUGUCCAGUUUUAAUAGACAAGACGCAGCAGUAGUCAUGUUGUGUCAAUGCCUUGUCAACCUAUCAUGUAUAAGUCAGCUUUCUCAUAAGGAUGUCAGGCACCAGAACUUGAACAUUGGCCGAGCCGAGGUAAUGCCACCGUUGGGAGACCAACCUCGGUCGCAUAGACGAGACGAUGAGCCAAGGCUACUCGAGCCCAUAAUUUGAGUCGGGUCGAGCCGAAAUAACUACCCUCAGAGAUCAGCUUAAAUGAAACAAAUUUGAAGAAGAAAUUUUUCAUCAGUUCGGCAAGAGGAUCUAUUGAUCCCGACAUAAGUUGGCCAAACUACUUUUGAGCAUUACCUUGUAAAAACAAAGAAAAGACUUGACACAUCACAGGAUCGAAAACGCUAUAUAAGCGUAAUGCCAUGGUGAAGGCUUAUACAUGGCCCUCAAGAUUUCUCAAGCUAUCAUACAUGCUCAAGUGAAAACUUUGAAAUUAGGGGGUAGGAUAUACUUAUCUAUUUCUUAAGUAAAAGAGAACUCUUUUAGCACAUUGUCGGUGGGGCCACAGGUGAAUCGAAAACCAUCAGACCUAUUCCUUAGCUUAGAAAAACUUUGGGAUAGCACUCAAGCGAUCGAGGUCGCCUUUAAUGGUUGAUCCUUUUACAUAGUGUGAGGUAUCUCUUUCUUACUCGGACUUACUCUCAGAAAAAAAGUUGUCCUAAUUCCGGGUCUUCAAUCUCCGAGAGGUUUUAUCGGCUUUGUUUUUCUUUUUCACUUGCCUAACCAAUUCUUCAAAGAAAUGCAUAUUAUCGCGAACAAACCUCAUUAUUCGAGCUACUGCCCUUUCCCUUCUCUCAUGAGACCCCUCUUAAAUUUUCUCUUGAUCAUUGCAAGGAGAUGUCAAGGAGUGGGGAGGUUUAGAACAGUCGAUGCGAGUAGUAGGAGUCAUUGCAUAAGGCCAGUGUUUGAAAAUUAUUUUUUCCACGGAAGGCGUUAAUUAUGCGACCAAGAACUUCGCCAAGCCGAUAUCUCAACAAUGGGGGUCCAAAGUCCUGUGACCACAAAAGGAUAAUACGAAGAGAUGGGGCUUUUCCUCCCAGUGUCACUUUGAUACUUAAGUAAAUUCUUGAAGAGGUGAUUUUUGGUGGGUUGUUGGUCCGACCAGAAAUCAGGCUCCUCUGAGAUGAAGUGAGGUGAAUUCUUGUGUCCGAAGUGGAUGGCGGGGCUUCUCCCCUGGUAUCACUCCGACGAUCAAGUUAGUAUGAGAACAAGAAAAAUAGUAGUAUAUGAGAAUGAACAGUGUGCUUGCUUGUUGGUAGUGGGCGUGAGGUAUUUAUAGAAGGAGAGUAGAGGACAGGGCGGAAGGCCCAUGCUAGUGGGACCCACUCUCUGGCAUUACGGCUCUGUCCCUUGUCAGGAAACCUGACCCUGACACUGUAGCCUUCUGGGCAUGAUGACGGAGAGUAUUGUGCAGGUGCCAUUAAGUGCCUCCAGUGCUUUUCAGAUAAAGCACUGGUCCCGGGUGGUGUCAGGUGGCUUGACAUCAUCAGCGUGCAGCUGAGGUGGAGGUGCCGAGGUCACCUAUACGGUAGACUAGGGGUCCGGCCGAGCUCAGGGGUUAUGCCCAAGACACGGAUGAGCUCUGAUGAGGGACGAGGUGGGUUCAUCUCGGACAUGCGGGUGGCCGAGGUGAGCAUCCUCAAUUCUCAAAGUGUAAGAUAGUUUUGUUUAAAAGUAAGCAAAAAUUCAAUUACAUCAAUAAUCGAGGAAAAUUGAGUAUUUAUACUAAUAUGAAAGCUGAGAACCAUUAGGAGUAGAGCUUGUGGUCGACAUUCAUAGGUAUAGUAGUUCGACACCACGUAUUAGUUAUAUCAGGUCUCUUAGGAAUGCCUUGGAUCCAACUCUUAUGUGGAUGAGUCGAAUCUAUCUUGGAUGCUAGUCGAGACUAAGUUCGGAUCCCGCAAUGUUGAUUGAUGUAACUAGCGUUGUUUGAUGUUACAACGUUAAAAAAUCAAUCUACAGUAGAGUCGACAUAUGGAUUCUCCUAAUAUCGUUAAGAUGGCUUACUUGCUCAUAAACAAUCUGAGGACUAUAAAUUACACUCCAUUUUCUACGUCAUGAGGUAAUUGAAUGAUCUUACUCUCAUUUCUCGAGAUUACAUCUCUAUCUCGUCUAUUGACUUGGGUAUCGAAGCUCAUUCCGCAGGCUUGGGAUAAGCCAGGACCCUAUUUUGUUCUCUGUUCUACUUGUAGGCAAGCAGCUCGUCUCCAUCAAAACCUUGUUGGUAUACAUGUCACAUAUACAAAAUUUAAAAUUUAAUUUAAAAUUUAAGACUCAAAUUAAUUAUCAUGUCAAAUGACAACAUUAAAAAAUUAAUUUUUUAAUCCAAUGCAAACGCGGAUGGAGGCCCGCAGAAGCAAAAUCAGAACCGUCCCCUCAGCACUUCUAUUUUGUCUCUACUCUCUAGUCGGCUGGGAAGUCCCAGGAAAAUCCACGCAAAUACAAUCAAUAACCUCCAACACACGAGACAAGUGGGUGACGUUGAGCACGCGUCCAUGUUGGUUUUGCCACCUAGGAUUUAACUAAUUCACACAUCCCGGAGAAAGAUGUACUCUUCGAAACCCUCCCGAUGGUGCCACGUGUGGUACCUAACAUACCUGGGCUUCGCCUUCCUCAGUUCCACACCGCGUUGCAAAUACUCCGUAUAUUCCCCAACAGCUAGCACUAGUCGUGUGGAAUAGUAGAGGAGUAUUACAGGAAGGUUCAUACCCAUCCACAUGAAAGUCUAUUGAACAGCAUACCCAUGCAUAAAUACUGCCACCAUCGUCUCCCCCAAUUCCAUUAACACGCUAUUUGCCAUAUAUUUUUCCCCACUCAUCAUCAUUCUGAUCACUUCUAUUUUCGACUUUUUUUUGUGCCCUUUUUUUGUCCAUGGAAAAUUUGACUCUCUCCGGAUUAUUGAUAAACGUUGCCGCAAAAUUUCCCUCCCGCCGCGCCAUAUCGGUUCCAGGCAGGUUCGAUCUUUCUCAUGCAAGGCUUCAUCAGCUUGUUGAACGUACUGCUACCCGCCUCGUCGCCGCCGGUGUUCAACCCGGGGACGUUAUUGCUCUCACCUUCCCCAACUCCGUCGAGGUCCAUUUCCUUUCCCUUUCACUCCCACUUCUUGUUUUCCUCGUCGCAGAUUAAGUUUGAAAUCGACGAACUAAAAGAUUGACAAAAUCCUAGAAAGUUCAUAUUGUAUUUGAUUUUGGAAGUUGCACCAGUAUAAGAACGAGAACAAUUAAUUAUUUUAUUUGUUACAAUACGAUUAAAUUGUUGGGCGAGGCUUCAAAAAUCUCGCCCAAACAUUUAAUUAAUUAAUUAAUUCUAUUGUUUCCAUCGGUUCUUUCUCCGCAGACAAGAAUUGUUGGUAUAUUUGUCCCCUUGCUUAUAGGCUGGUGGCAAUUAUUUCAUUCAUUUGCCGUUUCGCGGCGUAUAUUUUGCUGAUUAUUAGCAUUGAUUAGUUUGCCGUUUCCGAUUUUUAUGAUUAAAUAAUUAACUACGUAUCAAUCUGGGGGACUUCUGACUUAUUGCAGUUCGUGAUUGCGUUCUUGGCCGUAAUUCGAGCACGUGCGACGGCGGCUCCGCUCAAUCCGGCUUACACGGCUGACGAGUUCCAGUUCUACUUGUCCGACUCCGACUCAAAGAUCUUACUCACCUCAAAACAAGGCAGCGCUCCGGCUCAAGCCGCCGCGUCUAAGCUCAACAUUCCUCACGUCACUGUCGCGUUACCCGAUGCGGAUUCGGAUGUCGCUCUUUCUUCCUCCCUCUCCCAGUACGAGUCGGACCCGGAGCCGGAUCCGAACCUGUCAUCCAAACUUAUCAAUGAUCCCAGUGACAUCUCUCUCUUUCUCCACACCUCCGGCACGACCAGCCGGCCCAAAGGGGUUCCGUUAACCCAGCUUAAUCUUGUUUCCUCCGUAAACAAUAUUAAAUCUGUUUACAGAAUCACUGAGUCUGACUCCACAGUGAUUGUUUUGCCCCUCUUUCACGUACACGGGUUGUUGGCCGGGUUAUUGAGUUCUGUGGGAGCCGGCGGAGCCGUGACCCUCCCGGCUGCUGGGAGAUUCUCAGCUUCAACUUUCUGGUCAGACAUGAAGAAUUACAAUGCCACGUGGUACACGGCUGUUCCUACUAUCCACCAAAUCAUUCUGGACCGCCACCUCAACAGCCCCGAACCCGUUUACCCAAGGUUAAGAUUUAUACGGAGCUGCAGCGCGGCUCUGGCUCCUAGCAUUCUUGCUCGACUUGAGGAAGCCUUCGGGGCUCCUGUCUUGGAGGCGUAUGCCAUGACUGAGGCCUCCCAUUUGAUGGCUUCCAACCCGUUACCCCAGGAUGGCCCGCAUGUGCCCGGGUCAGUUGGGAAACCCGUGGGUCAAGAGAUGGCCAUAUUGGAUGAAAAUGGGAAACCGCAAGAGGCCAAUGCCAACGGCGAGGUGUGUAUCAGGGGCCCAAAUGUGACUAAAGGGUACAAGAAUAACCCCGAAGCCAAUAAAUCUGCUUUCCAGUUCGGGUGGUUCCACACCGGGGACCUCGGAUACUUGGAUUCGGAUGGAUAUUUGCAUCUUGUUGGCAGGAUUAAGGAGUUAAUCAAUCGUGGAGGUAAAAUUUUGCAAAUAAUGCAUUAUUUGUGCUAUUAGUUUGGUAUUUAGCAUAAGUUAAAAGCAAUUAUUACGUUUGCACUUUAGACAAAGCUUGCAAUUUGAUGCAUUAUAGAGUAGUAUUUUAUAAGGAGGAGAAUUUUCAUUUUUAAACCAUGUAGCUUUUGUUGAAGAUUGGCCACUUCAGGUGCAUAUGAUAGUGAUUUUUUUUUUUUUUUUUUUUUUUGUCAUCACUGGGGUAUCCGGGCAUAUGAUAGUGAUUGCUAAAGCUUGACCGCUACUUUCUUAAUAUCAGUUUAGGGAGGCUGGAGGUGUGGGAUAGUUAGUGCUGGUGGGCCCGACAUGAAAGACCUUGACAAUUGUGGCUGAUUAUAUCUAUUUCUGCUUGGCAGAAAUGUUAAAAAGUGUUAGCAAAAUUCAGUUGGUGUAAAGAUUAACGUGUCACCUUAACAGAACAGUGAUUUGUGAAGUUUAAAAUUUAACAUCCCAUGGUGGCCUUGAUUUUUCAGAUUACUGAAUUAGUAACAGGGGGUUUAAAACUAAGGACGUUAUGUCUUACGUUGUAGAUUGGACCUGCUAACCGCUGUCCUGAUCUGGUAGCUUACUGAUGGAGCAUGCAACUAAUGGUUGUGUCACGGUUCUUAUUAGCUUAUGGUUGUUACAGCACUAUUCCUUCUUACGAUAUACGGUGUCUGGAAAUUUUGACUUGAUUGUGUUAUGACUCCGUUAAAGAAAAGAAACUGAAGGUCUUUCACAUAAACAAUUUCAGGUGAGAAAAUUUCACCAAUUGAAGUGGAUGCCGUCCUGUUAUCUCAUCCAGAUGUUGCGCAAGCUGUAGCUUUUGGAGUCCCUGAUGACAAAUAUGGGGAAGAGGUAAUGUCAGACAUUUGUCAUUGAGUCACUUUUUAAUCUUUAAUCACCUAAUUGUUGUUGUCUAUAGCUAGCCAAGGACGAAAAAGUGUGCACUUGUCUGAUGUCUGGUUUCCAUCUGGCAGUUUAUUUGAAUUUCCUAGAAGUCUUUUGUCAAAAUACUCGGAUUGACUUAUGGUUGCGUUCAUGAACGAUUACUUUGUCAAAUUUCCUUUGUCAUCUGAGUAUGUUUUAUAGUUUCCUGUGAAGUUCUGAAUAUGCUUCAGCAAUACUAGAAGUCACUGUUGUAGUCAUAGGCUAGCGAAGCCUCGUAACUACCCACUCUUUGAUUGUCUAGCAUGUCUCUUACAAUGUCAACAUCUGCCCUCCAUCGUAGAACAUCUAACAUCCGUCUUUCCUUUCCUUACUGUGUAAACCUGUCCUUUUCUGAGAGCGGAUUUAUGAGGUUGAGUCGGUAUGAAUUUGGCUCUGCUGGAAGCCUGAUUUGUCUGCUAUUAGAAUGAUGUUGUUGUGAUGGUUGUCUGUCAUAUAUCUGCUUCAAUCAAAAGAUGCCAUCUGCUAGUCAUACAAUGUCUGACAUGUAUUUGUAUAGAAGGUUCAAUUGAACUCCAAUUUUUUGGUUGCACGCAAAAUUUUCCCUCCAAUUGUUCCUUUUUUUUUUUUUUAAUACAGAAGUAGAGUAAUUCAUGCUUCCUCCAUCUCUAUAGUUGUUGAGUUGUUCAUAUUCUGUCUUAAUUCUUUUGAUAACAUUCUAAUUUUUUUUUUGGUGUUUCCAGAUUAAUUGCGCGGUUAUCCCCAGAGAAGGGGCUAACAUUGAUGAGAGUGAGGUGUCGAGGCACUGCAAGACGAAUCUUGCAGGGUUCAAGGUCCCGAAGAAGGUUUUUAUCACCGAUUCUCUUCCCAAAACUGCCACAGGCAAAAUCCAAAGGCGAAUUGUGGCAGAGCAUUUCCUCGCACAGAUUUCUACUGCUAAGUUCCCCAAGUUUGGAGCCUAAAGAAAUUCAUGUUGUAUUGGCUAAUAUCCCUCCUGAGUACCGAAAUCAGAACGCAAAUUCCUUCCUCACAAAUACGUUGAUGAACCAAUUAAGAUCGCCAUAGAAUGAAAAUUUUUUGUUGUACAAAGGAAGAAAAUGUGAAAAAAAAGAAGAAGACAUUUUAGCUUUGUCCAGGUUAUUUUUAUUCUCAGCUGUCAAAGGUUUCGGUUGGGUGUUGCUUGAUGGGUAGGCCUUACGUAGCACUGGCUCGCAUUAAGACGGAGAAAUGGCAAUUUCUAAUGUAAUCAUGCCCGACCUUGUCGGAUUGUGAUGGUGGAGUUAUUCUUGUUGGAUAGGAGGAAUACAAUGCAUUUUACUUCCUAACAAUGAGAAUUUGGAAUAUGAUGAGUAAGUCGUACAACUGCCACUAGUAAAUCAAGCUCUUUGACGGGGUCAAUAGGCUUGAUACAUUGUUGAGUAAAUCGUUAAAAGUGGUUAUUGAACUAUUAAAAAUGGCACAAAUUAGUUAUCGAAUUUUUUUGACUGAAAAGGUCACUUGGUUCUCUAAAAUGAGCCUUUCAGAUCAAUUUGACCAAUUUAGUCGAUAAACUAAUCUAAAAAGUAAACUUGACCUUCUACUAUAGGUUCUUGAGGAUAAAUUUUUUUUUUUUGAUUGAUUUCUUAAAUAAGGAAAAAAAAUAAGAACAUAUAGUGCAGGAGUACUGAAUGUCUGAAACUUCCAGACUUCUGGUCAUUCUGUGGACUUUUGCCACCGGUACAGAAAAUAAGACUCCAUAUCAAGUCUGGUCACUGUGUGGGAUUUUGUCGCCAAAACUACGUAUAAACAGACCCAAUCUUGUUUAUAGGAGUAAAUCCAAACGGCAGAAGCAGGCAAUCCAAGCUUGUUAUAGGAGUUGAUUCCCAAGAGACUCAGAACCAGAGAAAAUUACUCUCGUCAAACUAUUACAUGAAGCGUGUUUUAUGCGACACCGACUCCAGGAUACCGGUGACUCGUGUGGUUUAUUUAUGUUUCACCUACUCCCAAGAUUUCAGAAGUAAAAUUCCCUCAAAACAGAUUUAAGUUUCAACUUCAUAAUAACCCUCAAGAUUAGGCAUAUCAUUUAUCACAGGAGCAACAAUUUUUGUGUCAUGAACAUCACUUUCAGUAAAACCUGUAACCUCUGAUAGUAACCAUAACACCCAAAGCCAGAAAAGAGGUGAAUUAAGAAAAGCACUAAUCUGCAAACAAGAGACUUGCCACAACAGUGGCAAGACUACAGCAAUCGAAAAUCAGGUAUUCAAAGGGGUAAACACAGAAACCUUGCAACAUAAAAACCACUGAAAUCCAUGUUAUAUAAUGCUAAAACUACUUAAGCUUCCUGACCCUCUUCGUCUUCUUCCUCGUAAUCAUAACCUUCCUCAUCUGCAGUAGCGUCUUGGUAUUGUUGGUAUUCAGAAACCAAGUCAUUCAUGUUGCUUUCUGCUUCAGUAAACUCCAUUUCAUCCAUGCCCUCUCCAGUAUACCAAUGCAAGAAAGCCUUUCUGCGGAACAUAGCUGUGAAUUGCUCGCUGACUCUCCGGAACAUUUCCUGAAUUGAGGUGGAAUUUCCAAUGAAAGUUGAAGCCAUCUUCAAACCAGUCGGAGGAAUAUCACAGACAGUAGACUUGACAUUGUUUGGAAUCCACUCAACAAAGUAGGAUGAGUUCUUAUUUUGCACAUUAAUCAUCUGCUCAUCAACCUCCUUGGUGCUCAUUUUACCUCGGAACAUAGCCGAAGCAGUCAAAUAUCGACCAUGGCGAGGAUCAGCAGCACACAUCAUGUUCUUUGCAUCCCACAUCUGCUGAGUGAGUUCUGGGACAGUGAGAGCUCGGUAUUGCUGUGACCCACGAGAUGUGAGUGGAGCAAACCCAACCAUGAAGAAGUGCAAUCUAGGGAACGGAAUAAGAUUGACAGCUAACUUGCGAAGAUCAGAGUUCAGCUGACCAGGAAACCGAAGGCAGCAAGUAACACCACUCAUGGUGGCUGAGAUCAGGUGGUUCAAGUCUCCAACUGUUCAGAAAGCAAUAUCAAUUUAGUCACUUGCUCAACUGUCACUUACAAAUUUCUUGAAAAUACAUAGCCAUCUGCUAGCAUCUAAGCAUUAGACUUCAUACUUACGAAAGGAUGUAAAAGUAUGGAACUCUCAUUUAAAAUCAUUGCUUGUAUGCAAAAAAUUAACUCUCAACCAAAACCUCUGAACAAUCUUAUCAAUCAACAAAAUUGAGUUCAAAUGACACAGAAAGCUACAAAAGAAACUGAAUUUGAUCCACUUGUGCUAAACAACACAUAAUACUUCAUGAUUCAGAUGGAGUGUCAUGAACUCCAAAUGAUACUUCAUAUACACUUCUGUAUAGAUUCUGAAAUCGUUCAUCUGUCUCCCAUUGCAUGAAUUUCUGUCAUCAGUUAAAUAGUGAUUCAUUGACAAACAAGCAAACCACUAAACGUUUAAAUCACCAUAUCUGCAUAUGCAACGAUGUAAAAUUUUCUUUGGAGGAACAAAUAGUCAUAAUCAGACCUGUAGUUGCCAACAAAUGCAAUGGACUUACAGCUGGGGGUGGUGAGCUUAAGGGUGCGGAAGCAAAUGUCAUAAAGAGCUUCAUUAUCCAGAACCAUACACUCAUCGGCAUUCUCAACCAGCUGGUGCACAGACAAGGUCGCAUUAUAGGGUUCCACAACAGUGUCAGACACCUUAGGAGAUGGGAAAACAGAGAAGGUGAGCAUCAUCCUGUCAGGAUAUUCCUCCCUGAUCUUAGAAAUGAGAAGGGUCCCCAUUCCUGAACCAGUUCCACCUCCCAACGAGUGACACACCUGAAAUCCUGAUACAUCAACAAAUAGGUUACUCGUCGGGUUUUACCCAUCCAAUAAAAUCGCCCAGAAAGCACAGAAAAUCUUUGCCAGCACAAAAUCGAAUCAACACAGCAAUUUCAAGUUAAACAAAGAGGCCAUUGCCAACCAGGCUUACGAGUUAAGAACCUGGAGAACUAUGAGUAUAUUUCAUCAGAUCUAGAUUAUUUUGCAUCUUUUUGUUUUUUUUUUCCCUCUCCGUCUCCAGAAAACCAAGCAAGCAUACUUAAAACAAGUCGUGAAAACAACCAGAAACAUACUACUAAAAGAUAAUCAGAAUGAAGCCACGACGAGUAAAGGAGGGAAUAAAAACAACCAAGACUUAAGAGUAGCAAAACUGACUAAUGAAUUCACAAAAUCAACAGAUCCACUAAAAUCACACACAAAUAACGCGUGAAGGUAAGACAUAAAAGAAUCUGUCAGAAACAAGGGUGAAGUACCUUGAAGGCAGUCACAGUUUUCGGCUUCUUUGCGGACGACGUCGAGAACGGAGUCAAUGAGCUCAGCGCCUUCUGUGUAGUGACCCUUAGCCCAGUUAUUUCCGGCACCGGACUGCCCAAAAACGAAGUUAUCAGGGCGGAAAAUCUGGCCGUAGAGCCCAGAUCUGACGCUAUCCAUGGUGCCGGGCUCCAGGUCCAUGAGGACGGCGCGCGGGACAAACCUCCCGCAGCUGGCUUCGUUGUAGUAGACAUUUACUCGCUCCAACUGCAAAUCGUUGUCUCCCUUGUACCUGCCGGUGGAAUCGAUGCCGUGCUCGGCGCACACGACUUCCCAGAACUUGGCUCCGAUCUGGUUCCCGCAUUGCCCUCCCUGAAUGUGCAAAAUUUCACGCAUCUUUUUUUGUUUUGGGUUCAAAAAUUUGAAACUAGAGAGGGCGAGAGUAGGAAAGCUCGACUGUAAGGAGAGAAAGCAGGGCUGAAGAGAGAACCGGUAUCUUUUCUCAGUUGGAGAGAGGAGAGUGAGGAGGGGAUUAUAUAUAUAUAUAUAUAUAUGUAUUAAGGGAUGAGUGGGGGCGCCGGAUCAUGGUGUUUGCUGUGACCCAAGUGGGAAUUUUUGAAAUUUGAAUUUUCGGGCAGAGACUGAACACCAAUUUUCGCCCCGUUUAACAAGUGAAUUUUUUUGAAUAUUUAUCUAAAACUUUGACCCCAUUUAGUAAAUAAAUUUUUUGAAUAUUUAUCUAAAAUUUUACUGUAAUUUAAUGUAAAAGUUUUUUAAAAAUUUUUAAAAUGUGUAAAUUUUUGAAUAUUUUGAAAUAUAUAGUUUAGAAACUUUGAAAAGUUUUUUAAAAUUACUGUAGUUAAAGUUUUUAAAAAACUUAUAGCAGACAAACUUGACAAAAAACUUGUUUAUCAAACAAGGCCUUCAAUUUUUUUUGUGUGAGAUUGAUUAUAGAAGAAAGUAAUUUUUGUUUAUUUGGAAAAUCAUUUUUCCUUUAAAAAAAUUUAUGUUUUCAAUGAGCACUUUGUUAGAAAAGUCAUUUUUUAUCAAAAAUUAUUUGUAUUUUUAAUGAACAUAUUUUUUAAUUACAUUCUUAUCUCAUACAGUUAUAAGACUUUUUUUUUUUACAAAAAUUUCCAAAAAAUAGUAAUUUAAACAUAUUCAUAAUUUUUUGCCUAGUCUAAAAUAUACUUCUAGUUAUGUUUGGUUAGUAGAUUAUUUGAAAUAAUUUUGUGAAAAAAAACUAAAACGUUUUUUGAUGUGAUGCAUGUGAGAUAAAAAUGUAACUGAAAAUUGUGUUAAUAAUACAAGCAAGUCAGUGUGUGUAAAUAAAGUGUAAAUAAUGGAUCUGUUUGGAUAAAGUAUUAUCUGAAAUAUUAUUUGAAAUAAUUACUAUAACACUUUUUGUGAUAUGAUGUAUGUGAAAUAAAAGAGAUGAUUGAGAAUAUAAAAAAAUGGGUUAAAAACUGUAUUUAUGAUGCAAAUGAAAUAUAUUAUUUGAAACAAUUUGGUAUCCAAACAAACCUAUAUAUAUUUGUAAUACAAACAAACUCGCUGGUACUUUUAAGAGGGUCGUUUACGCGCUUAAAUGGAGCGUGAGAGAGAGAGAGAGAGAGCACAAAACUGGGGGAAUGGCAGAACUGGGUGACAGUGCAAAUGUCUGAUGAUGCUGAUGCGGUAAAAUGGCACGUGAUCUGGGAAAUGGGCAUGUGACUAGCACUGAAAUGAUAUCAAAACACGCACCCUAAACCAGACCCCACCCCGCACCACCACCAAAAAAUAAAAAAUAAAAAAAGAAGAAAGAGCGUGCUGUAGCAUCGCAAAAGUAGAUGGUUAAACAAUAAUUUUUUUUCUUUAUUUAUAAGAAUUGUUCCAGGUUUCGUCAAAGAAGAACUCCUAAUUAAUAUCGCCACAUUCAUUGUCCUCACAAUUGUAGAAAAGCUUCCCUCAUUCCUCUUCCUUACAGCUUCUGAUCAUGCUGCUUGGCAUUUUGUAUUUUCAGUGUAGAGACUCCAACAAAUUGGCUCUUCCUUUGAAAAAAGGUAAGGCUUUUUCUAUAUCAGCACAAGCAUUACAAUAAAAGAGUACCAUAUGAUAAUUACAAUGGAUAAAUUCAUUAGUAAACACCAACUGCGAAAUAUUUGGACUUUGGACAAUCACCUUUUUAAACAAAGAAUGCGGUAAAAAGCUUUUGUAGUAGUAAAAGAUAAAGCCCAAUGCUAUCUCCAAAAUAAUAAUAAUAAUUACACAUUUAUUUACACGCUCUCUCUCUGACUUACCUGUAUUAUCAACAUAUUUUUCAAUCACUUUUUUAUUUUACAUAAUCACAUUAAUAAAGUGUUACAGUGUUUUUUUUUUAAUGAAAUUAGCUCAAUAAUAUACUAUCCAAACACACAAAAGCCCAAUAUUUGGAGAUGAUUGACUUCUAUCAAUCUACACAUGUUAAGAAAUGAGUUGAACUUAAUGUUGGAGCUUCAAAAAGCUUCCAAAAUGCCACGACGCAACUAGAGUGCAGGUGUUUAUCAUGAUUAUAUACCCGAAAACCUCAUGCUCGUUAUAUGUCGAAUUUUGGUACCAACCCAGAAUAAUUUUUACGGAUAUGAGAAAGAAGUCAUUCGUUUCUGCAAGGAAAUUGACGACAUUUCACGGUCUAACCCGACAUCUCUUAUUUACCCGUCAUCAAUGCAGGUGGAUGUUUACAGCUGCGGAUUAAUGUGGAUGUAGAAUUUGAUUUUCUUUUUCUAUUUCUUUUUUUAAAUAGGCCUACUACACCAGUCCCUACAAAUCCAAAUACUUUGCGGUGAGGUGAAGUCUUAAUCAGGCCCAUGGAAAUAUAGCUGUGUAGCAGAAGAACGAACAUAUAGCAGAAGCGUAACUUAGGACUUGGCCCAUAGGUCCCAUACCAAACGUGCGUCUCACUCGUUAUACUGACUCCAGAAGGGUCCAAAAAAAAAGCGCAUCAGCUGUCACCUGACAGAACAGUCAGGAACCUCGAUCACGAGGGAAGAGGGACCAACCAAAGGCCCAGUGGUAAUCCCAAGCCUUCUCAGGUUUAGUGGUGCGGAAGGUCAAGGGUUCGAACCUUGUCUUUCACAAAAUUUGUCACAAUAUGUGACGGUCUUCAUUGAUCAGUUUCGAUGGAGUUUCUACUCACAUCGAGUCCCCUCCCCCCUAGAAUAUGCUAGUUUAGAUUAUAGGAAUUCUAUUGUAUCGACAAAAAAAAAAAAAAGGAAAGAGGGACCAACCGUCGCGGAAGGUCAAGGGUUCGAACCUUGCCUUUCACAAAAUUUGUCACAAUAUGUGACGGUCUUCAUUGAUCAGUUUCGAUGGAGUUUCUACUCACAUCGAGUCCCCUCCCCCCUAGAAUAGGCUAGUUUAGAUUAUAGGAAUUCUAUUGUAUCGACAAAAAAAAAAAAAAAGGAAAGAGGGACCAACCGUCCCUGCCAGUUCACGGUCAAGAUUUGAUAAAAAAAAAUUAUACGAUUCAUAUUUCAUUUUAUAUUUCGAUUUUAAUAACAUAUGUGAAAUUCAUAAAAUUUUAUUCUAAAGUUACACGUUAUUAAAAGUAAGUUAAAUUAUGUGCAGAUAAAAUUACGACGUGUGCAAAAUACACAUAAUUGUCAGGCCGUUCCUGGUCCCGAUGGCGAGUGGCCGGACAAAUUCUGCAGAAUGCACGAUACCCAGGCUUGCUUUAAAAUGCCCUCAAAUCUAAACCCCAAAAAAGGAAAAGGGCAAAAAAAGAAAAAAAGAAAAAAAGAAGAAGCCACUCAAAUCUAAUCGAAACACACACCAAAAAUACACGCGCUUCAAAUCUCUGAUUAUUCAUGAAUGUACGCACGUUGAAGACUUGAUCCAAUUAUUAUUCGGAACCUUAAAAAAAAAAAAUCAGUCCAAAUUCCAAAAUCACAAUAACGUGGUCUCCACUGGGGAUGGGUGUCUGCCUGGAUUUGAUGUUGAAGAGAAGCAAAUGAGUCAUCAAAUGAGUGCCCAAGUAACCAUCAUACCACCUUCGGAACCAAGCAAAAAGAAGAAAAGAAUACCCAAUCCACAAGUCACAUUUUGCUUUCUUUUAACGUGCUGAUGUUCACCUUCCUGCUAAUUCAUCAACUUUUUUCUUUCCUUUUCUUUUUUAACACAAAAUUUUAUCACCCUUUUAAUGUCUUUUACUCUUUUUUAUACUGGUAGUAUUAGUAUUAGCUAGUUUUCAGGAAGUACACAGUGAGUGUGUUUGGAUAGUAAAUUAUUUGAGAUAAUUUUGUGAAAACAUAUUGUAAAAUUUUUUUGAUGUGAUUUAUAUGAGAUAAAAAGGUGAUUGAAAAAUAUGUUGAUAAUGCAAGCAAGUCAGUGUGUGUAAAUAAGGUGUAUAAUGUGCAUUCAAAACACACUUUGACCUAAGUGUUGGCCUUUAUCUAUGUAUCAUGGAGCUAGAGCCAUCCAUGUUCCAUCCUACAAGGCCUGUUCCAUUUAUUUUAUCUCAAUCCUUUUUUUUUUAAGGAUAUUUUAUCUCAAUCUUGAAAUCUUGAAAAUCUGUUGCAUCACUAGUUAAUGUAAUGAGUUUGAUCUCUUAACUCUUAUUGAUUUAUGUACCGAGGUUGCCAAUAUAAGUUGGCUAAUUUAGUAAGAACGAAUCACCUCUUUACAAAAAAUUUGCGUGUUCAAAUCUCACUGUUAGUGUGAGAACUGCAAUGAUGGACGAGCUAUAAGAAUCUUUGUAAGAAACUUGUGGUUCUAAGGGUAUGUUCUAAUUCGUUGUGGCGAUCGGAGUUAAAUCCAUCCAAAUCUUUUAUUACAAAAAUACAAAAUAUAUAUAUAUAUAUAGAGGUCUAUUUUAUUGGUCAAAGGAAAAAAUAUGAGGUUGCAAAGGAAAACAAUUAAUUGUGUAGUAAUAUUUUUAGUUUGUUGCAUAUCUUUUGAAAGUUUUGCAGACCAGAUGAAAACCAUGCAUGAUAUGGUAGACAAUCAAAACUAAUAUAAAAGCCGUACAGGCGUUCACGAAAUUAAAAAGGAAUAAUUUCACUCAGAUUCUCUUAGGUUUAAGAAAUUACACUUAUCUCUCUUGAUAUAGUUAAAUACCUAUAAUACCCUCAAUUUAGUAAACAAUUUUAAAUUUAAGACAAUAAAUUUACAAAACCUAAAAAAAAUAUAUUUUUCUAUCUCUUGUCUAUUUUCUAGUUAAUAUAAUAUCUUUUUAUUAUCUUUAGUUUUGUGAAUAUUAGCAAUUUAAAAUUACAAAAUCUACAAAGAGAGUAAAUUAUGUAUCAAACUAAAAGGCAAUAAAGAGACUCACAAUGAUAGAUAAAUAAAUAAUAAAAAUAAUGAUUGAAGUAGGAAAAAUAACUAAAGAUGUAGAAUUUGUCAUAUUUUUGUUUGUUGUUGAGAAAAACUUUUAUAAAAUAUCAAUAAUUACAUAAUGAUUUCUUUCAUUGGAUUAGAAUUUUUUUAUUAUGAUUUUAUUAUAGAGGUAGAAUUUAUUCUCUACUUUUGAGCUAUUAAUAUUUUUUAAAAUCAUAGGAGAGUUGUAAUGGUGGUUCUAAGUCAAAUUAGCUUAUAUUGAAAAGGUAUUUGAGUAUUGAUAUUUAAUUUGAGAGUAUAAAAUUGGUUAUCAAUGAGGGGUUUUUUGCGUGUGUGUGUGUUUUUUUUAUUGUGACAAGUAUUGAUACUGCAUAUGCAAUAUGAGAUUUUUUUGAUGACUACUUGAUUUUAGAACUUAUGAUUGGAUGGUUGUUAGGGAUUUGGCUUGUUGAUUUUUGCAAAGUGUGAAAGAAAAUGAUUAAGUAUACUGUAUUUUUCUUUCUUAGUUUUGUAUAAAAGGGCAAUUUAGGAUUUUUGAAAGAAAAUCUAAAUUCUUGGAUCUACAUUGUUACUAAACAGUAAAAAUAUGGGAGGUAUAUGUAAUUGUUAAAAUUUGAGCGGAGCUCUUUGUAAUUGUGAGAAAUCUCAGGGGAGGUUUGUGAAAUUAUCCCAAUUAAAAAUGGUGCAUGAUAUGCGGCUAAUUCCUUAGAAUAUUUGUAUUUAAAAAAAACAACCGCCAAAUACACCUCUGACAUGGGUGUUUCUCAUUCUAUAGCGGCCGUGCUGAGUCAGCACGGCCGCAUAAUUAAAUAUUCCACCGAAAUCUUGUCUGCAAAAAAUUCAGUGGUGCAGAGGGUGUCAGCGCGGACGUGCUGACUGGGCACGUCCGCGGCUGAAAAAGCUGCUUCUAGUCUGCACAUGUGUCAGACGGGGACGUGCUGACUGGGCACGUCCACGGGAGACACAAAAUCAGUGCUGGUCUGUUGUGUCAGACGCGGACGUGCUGACUGGGCACGUCCGCGUCCGACACAUGCUAAAAAAAUCCUCUCAACUCUGAGAAUUGGGAACUGAAACAAUCCUCCAUCCACCCAUCACCCAUAUAUUAUUGCCAACCAAAAAGACUGGAAACAAACCCAGAAAGAAAGAAACCAGAGAAGUAGAAUUGUCUCGGUCCAUCUAUUGGUCACCUCCCGACUCCGAAAGCCACAAAAGCUGAACCAUAGCCCCACCCCACCGCCACAUCACUCAGCCCUUAUAGUUUACUUCACUCUCUUCUCUUCUGCGCCAAUCAACAACCAAAAUUUGCACAAACAACCCAUGCCAUGCAUAAUUUGCUUGGAGAAUUUUAUUUUUUUAAAAAUCACCCUUUUACCACUUUCAUAAUGUGUACAUAUCAAUCAUAACGUCGUAAAUAGCGUAACAAAUAAUAAUGAAAUAUGUUAUUCAAUAAACAACUCACGCUUUGCGCCACUACAACAAGCAUGUUUUGAUUGCUAUAUAUAUAUAUAUAUAUAUAUUAUUAAGAAAAAUUUUAUUUAUACACUACUUAGUUAUUAUAUCUUUUUUCACUUCAUAUAAAUUACAUCGUUAUUAUUAUUAUAUAGUAUACUUUUUCGAGAUCUAUAUUAACUUAUCAAUUACUCGUACCUGUGUUAUACACCAUUCUAUAAUUAGUAUGUGCAUUAGAACUGUAGACUAGAUUUUAUCAUAAUACUAGUAUUAGGAAUGUAGUGAAAAAUUUUAUAUACACUCCCUAUAUUUAGUGCAACAUUUUGGGAAAGUAAUUAAUAUUCGUAUUCGAUCAUUUUAUUUGGGAUGUACAGAAGUUUGUUAAUGGUCAAUGAUAUUCUUCGUAUUCUAAAAAGAGUUAAAUGACAUAAACACUCACUUCAUAGAUUUUUCUAAUUUUUUAAAUGCCAAAAUACGCUCAAGGUAUAAUUUAACGAUAACUUUGUGUUACUUUUGUAGAAACCUUUUUUUAAUUUUAAAAAAAAUUCUAACAUUGUUUAAUAAAUCCUAAAGUAAUACACAAUUUCAAAAUAAUAAUAAUAAUAAUAAUAAUAAAGUUUAGUACUUUAUUGAAGAACUACUAAACAAUUGAUCAUGGUUGUUAAGAUUCACUUCUAUCACUAGUUGCAUUAUAAUCCAAGACUAAUUUAAGAGUAGGAAAAAUUAAGUGAUAAAAUAAAGAAAUUUACUACCAUUAAAUACAUAGAUGGGCACUUUUUUGUCUCCAAAAAAUUUUGCAGUUUUUUUGUUGUCAUUUUAUUAAGAACAAAAAAAGAAAGAAAGGAAGGAUGAAGUGUCUGGAGCAUUCUUCGAAAUGCUUAUAUCAUUUGCAUUGAUAUUGAUUGCAGUUUCAUAGCAUUUGCAUCCGUCUGACACAUGCACAGACUUGGAGUCAGUUUUGUCAGGCCGCGGAUGUGCCCAAUCAGCACGUCCGCGCUGACACCCUCUGCCCCACUAAAUUUUUUGCAGACAAGAUUUCGGUGGAAUAUUUAAUUAUGCGGCCGUACUGACUCAGCACGGUCGUUAUAGAAUGAGAAAUACUCCAUGUCAGAGGUGUAUUUGGAGGUUGUUUUUUUUAAAUACAAAUAUUCUAAGGAAUUAGCCAUGAUAUGCAGGUUCCGAAAAUAUAUCAAUAAACUGAUUUUGAAGGAAAGCGCUACAGCAUAAGUUUUUCACUGAGGAAAUCGCGGAAGAUCUUGCGCUUUUACGCGAAAGAGAUGAGGUCGGAAUCCCGCGAGCCCACGCUUGGCAAAAACCCUUGACCUCCCGUUUACGCGAAGUUGCCCUUGCUGGCUGCUGCCUAUUUUCAUCGUUCUUCUUUCUCCCAACUAUCUCCACCACUUUCUACUACUGUUACACUGCUAAAAUUUCACUACCUGAGGCAUUUCUCUUAUACUAGUAUAGGAACCAAUGGUGAGCAAGAGGCAGAAAUUGGCCCGCAAGCGAUUUAAAGAAGAGCACCCUGAGCUCUUCCCAAAGCCAGACCCAACGCCUCCCAAAGACCCAACCAAGAAGAAGAAAAAGUUAUCCAAAUUCAAGAGGGAAAAAACGGUUUCCAAUGACCCAAGUAAUCCCAAGAAAUCCUUUAAGGGGAAAAAGCACCCAUUUAGAAUUCCAGGUAUGAAGCCUGGCGACAGCUGUUUCAUAUGCAAAGCACCCGACCACAUUGCCAAGGACUGCCCUCAGAAAGCUCAGUGGGAAAAGAAUAAGGUCUAUUAUCUUCAAUUUACUUAUGAAUGUACAUGUGUGCGUGUGUAUAUAUAUAAACUAAGUAUUCAUGUAGUCCGGAACAAUCUGUGAUGGGAUUUUCGAUGGUUGUAGAUAUGUUUGUUAUGUCGGCAACGGGGUCACAGUCUUAAAAAUUGCUCGAAGCAGAAGGACGAUUCCACCGAUAACAAGUUCUGUUAUAAUUGUGGGCAGACGGGGCAUUCUCUUGCUAAGUGUCCACAGCCUCUUCAAGAUGGUAGUAUUUUCUAUUUGACCAAAGUUUUAUUUUUCCGUAGCCCUUUACUCAAUGUUACUAGUGGCAUUUUUAUGUGUUUUGACUUACUCUUCAUUGUCAUUGCUUGUUUUAUUAUUGGUACUUAAAUUUGCUUCUUAAUGACAUUAUGUUCCAAGUUGUUAUCUCUGUCCAACUCUGGAGGUUACCACUAGUCGGUUGAUGAUAUUUCAUUCAGUGUCUGAUUUUUCACUCUCCACCGCAGCCUGGGCAGUUGGAUGAACUUUUAAGACUAAAUCAUGCCUGUACACCUAGAAAUGGGAAUUAGAGACUAAGAGAUGAAACAAAGAUAUGUGGAUAUGCAUAGUUGUACACGAUGCAGUAUCAACGAUUAUGAGUCGUGAUUUCAAGAUAAUAGAAUCUUGUAUUGGUGGUUGUCAUUCAAUCAUUUAGUGCAUUUUUUAGUAUGCUGCAUCAGAUAUACUCCCCGAGUAAAUUCAAAGAGGUUCUUGUGAACUCAUAAAUAUUUUGAGGAAAAUUAUAUCUUGGUCAGUUUACAAACUUAUAAGAUUAGAAUUCUGGAGUUUAAUGUAGGGGGAUUCAAUUAGUAAGCUUUUGGUCACCUAGUUCCUAAGUUUUUUCACCUGUUCCCAUGGUUUAAUCAAACUAAAGAGUCCUGUUCCUAAGUUUUUUCACCUGUUCCCAUGGUUUAAUCAAACUAAAGAGUCCUGCCAUGGUCUUAUCAUUGACUAUCUUCUUGAUUUUCUUCCCUUAAAAAUGCAGGAGGAACACGAUUUGCCAAUUGCUUUAUUUGUAAUGAACAAGGGCACUUGAGUAAGAACUGUCCACAAAAUUCCCAUGGAAUUUACCCAAAGGUACAUGUAUGAUGGCUUGGUGUUUGAUUGAUCAAAUAGCUGUCUUAAAAGCCAACAUUAUAAAGUUCUUUUACUUGUAGGGUGGCAGUUGUAAAAUCUGUGGUGGUGUCACACAUCUGGCUAAAGAUUGUCCUAAUAAAAGCAGCAAAGCUUCUAAUGCAGUUGGAGUAGCUGGCAAAGCACGUAAGUUGUCUUUGUAUCACAAACAUUCAUUUUGAGCUAGUAUUUUGAAAAAGUUUAUUUUGCUUCCACUCAUUCAACAAUAUUGGUUACACUCAAUGAAGGGUCAAUAUACCUUGACUAUGAUGGUGGCUGUUGCCUGGUUCCUGUUUUCCAGCAUAUAUUGAGAUUAUAUUAGAGAUACUGUAAGUCUCAGUGUGUGUUUGUGUACUAGGGUCAGUUCUCAAAAAUUUGAUCUAGUAAUUGAGAAAAUAAAUAAAACAAAGACAUGUUUUAGAGUAUUGCUACAUGUUAUAUAACAAUCAUCGACCCAUAGUCAGCUGUUAACCCUCAUGAUUUACAGUAGUUGGGCUCCACCUAAUCUUGUGCUUAAACUUCAUUGUGUUGCAAUGUGCUUUAAUUUAUUACUAUCUAAUCUCAAACCAUGAGAUUCAUCAAUGCGGUCUUGAUUAAUACAGAUACAAAUCAUGUACCAUACAACUACUCUGUUUCAUUUGUUUAUCAUAACUUUCCCUGAGAAUGAUCUUGGUUGAGGUCAAUUUAUAAUAAAACCUUUGCAUUCCUAGUUCACUCCCAGCAACCUUACUUUUCUACAAGGAUUACCUCUUCUGGAGUAGUUGUUUCAUAAGUCUAAUAAGAGAUGAAUCAAGUAGUAACUUAGUCAUAUAAAAAUAUGACAGGAAUAAAGCAGUCUAAGUUUUUUUUUAGUAUCAAGUAAGGGGACCCCCUGCCACUGGGAUGAUUCGUUAGCCUAAUGAAUAGCGAGGUUUGACCUUGUGCUUUUUUCCACUCAAGUGAGAAAUAUAAUAUGCAGUGAGCAAAACUGCCGGGAACUGUGUACAGAUGAUUUGUAGUGAAUUUGGCCUUGGCUAUUCCUUUUGUGAGUGCAUGACUUUAAAGUCAAGCUCUUGUGAACUUUUGUGGGGGAGGAAAUUGAUGCCACUUUGGGCGUUGUGUAUGCUAUAUUGUGCUUUUAAGUUCUGAUAAAUGGCUUGGUUCAUUCUCUGUUCUGAUGCAACCUAAUUUACUGUUUUGCGGUUAACAAAUACUGAUAUUUUCAAUUUUUCAUUCACGGGCAGCUGAAAUUGAAGAGAGGCCUUGAGGACAAAUCACCAGGUUUAUCAGCGGUGAUGAUCUUGAAGAUGACUUCAUGGCAGGGGAUACAUUUAGUGGUAACAAAGACACGCCCUCUGAGCCCAUGACCCCGGCACCUGAUUCAAAGCGGAACGUAAAAUUGAAGACAAGACAAGGAACCAAGGUUGUGAAUUUUGUAGGUUAAUACCUAGCAAGGUUUGGAUAACAAUAGGGCCACAUAAUCUUGCAGUUCGUGAGUCAGUUACUCCAUCUUUUACCAAGUUAUGAGAGGCAGCUAAUCAGAUUCCCACAAAUAUGGUGCUAGCCUGCACUUUUUGGUCUGUGGUUACCUGAGCACUCAGUUUGAGGCGUGCACAUCAUAUGUAUGUUAUUGAUAAAAGGUCGAAUUGAAUGAUACCAAGGGAUUGCUACUGUUUUGGCCAGAUGCAGGUGACAAGACAUGUUCUUUUGCCCCCAUUAUUAGCUAGCUAAUUGGAUACGACUUGUAUGGAAUGGGUAUAUACUUUGAAAGGAGGAUAAUAGCACCUCCCAAAAUUUUGCUGAACUUGCUGUAUGUGUUACAGUUGAGAGUUGAAAAUGCACUACUCUCCCAAGAUUUUGUUGUAACUCGUAAACAUGAGAGAGAUAAGAGCAGCGUCUCCCGUUCUUUUCAGUCGAGUGCUGUUACCUGUUACUAUGUGAAAGUUAUGCUACUAGAGAACGACAUUCAGCUAUAUGUAUAGAUCAUGGUUUACCAAAGCAAGAUCACGAUAUUCAAUGAAAUAGGCAUUUCUUUUCUGGGAUGGAAGAAAUCUGGAAUAAAAUGGAAGAGUAAAAUGGAGUAACAAAAAUGCUUAAACGUGGUCAUUGGUAAUUUAUGCUGUUGAAGUAGGUAAUCCAAAAUAUUAAGUAGAAAGUUCCAAGCUAAAGUUAAAUUGAAACCAACCGUAAUGGGGGCCCCAAAAAAAAAAAAAAUCGUAACCCGUAACCAUGAUUUCAAUUUCUUUUUGGGGCGUAAUUAUUGUGAGACAAGGGAAGGGACGAUUAGGGAGAGGAAAGCCGACGGUCAUGCAUGGCAAUUUGUGCAAUGGCUACGUGGGGAAACAAAAUAAAGAGUUUGUUGUGGACAUGAUCAGCCCAAGAGGCGAGACAAUUCUCAACCCUUAUUUUUUUCCUGGAAAUUCUAUUCUUCCCCGCAUUUUUCUCCUCUAUUAAAACUGUCAAUAUCUUCAUCAUUUCAAUUUUCAAGGAUCUCUCCUUCCUAUUGUCUCAUCGUUCUUGUUUUUCCUCUCCUCUUUCCUCUCUUCUUUUCGUUUGUUUGUAUUGCAGGGUUCCUUUACCCAUUAUUUGAAGAUUGCAACAUGGUACGUUCUAUCUUUCUCUAUCCCCUCAUUCUCAUGCAUAUUAUAUUUGGCAACUUAAACUUCCUUUGGAACACAGAAUGGUAAAUUAAUUUGUUUCUCUAUCUACCCAGAUCUUUAAAUCCAUUUUGAAAUUCUUAUCAUCGUAUGUAAAAAAAAAAAUAAAAAAUUUCAUGUUCAAUGUGUAGACAUUCGCAAAUCAUUCCCUCUAUCCAAUUAAUAAACUUUCUGAAAGGCCCUUAAAGGACUUAAUCUAGAUUGAUCAUUAUUAAUGAACCACAUUUUAAUUGUUUGAUACGAUCCCCUAGAAAUGUGAAAGAAGCUACCAAUGUAUUCACCCUCCUUGUUAAAAAUAAGAAGAGAGGGACAUAUAAGAAUGGCUAGGCGAUGUUCAAGGAGGUAACAAAAAGAAAAUGGAGAUUUGUUCAUGUAAACACGUCCUGUUUCUUAUGCUAUUUUUUUUUUUCAGAAUUAGAGCCCAAAAUCAGGCUAAUUUCGUAUCUGUUGAGAUUUAUGGCAGUGAAAUUACUUUGUUCAUCAAAAAAAAAAAGAAAAGUUUAUGAUAUACCGUUAUCAAAUGUGAUUUUUCUCCAACAUUUGUCAAUUAAUAUGAGCUGUUGCGUUUCGUAAUCUUUCCAAUUAUGAAAACAUUUUUGACAGGCGAAUGCUACAUCUGGAAUGGCUGUGGAAGAUGAGUGUAAGCUGAAGUUUUUGGAGUUAAAAGCCAAGAGAAACUAUCGUUUUAUUAUUUUCAAGAUAGAGGGUCAACAGGUGGUGGUGGAGAAGCUUGGGAGUCCUGAAGAAAGUUAUGACGAUUUCACUGCUUCUCUGCCAGCCGAUGAGUGUCGCUAUGCUGUGUUUGAUUUCGAUUUCAUCACCGACGAGAACUGCCAGAAAAGCAAGAUUUUCUUCAUUGCUUGGUAAGGUCUUUAGCCAACCUCGUUGCCUUUUUUUCGUUCGAAGCCAUUUCAAAAACCCGCAAGACUUCAUUUGCUAAAUACAUCUUUCGAUCCUGAAAACUUCCAUAAACUAUUUUUGAUUGUCACUCAUUGAACAGUACAAUUCAGACGCACGUAUCUUGUUAGUAUUUUUUUUUUUGACGUGUUGAAGUUACAAAAGUUGUAUGGCGUGAUGCAAUAAUUAGGUCCCCAGACACAUCGAAGGUGAGAAUGAAGAUGGUUUAUGCGAGCUCAAGGGAUAGAUUCAAGAGAGAAUUGGAUGGGAUUCAAGUGGAAUUGCAGGCAACAGAUCCUAGUGAGAUGAGCUUUGACAUUAUAAAAGGACGAGCACUCUGAAUAUAUCACCUUCACUUGAUCGCCAUCACGGAGACUCGGACUCUUUUUCUAGUACUAUAAUUCCCAAGCAAUGUUAUCGAUUCGUCUUCCCUUUUUUUUCUUUCUGUUCUUAUUUUUGUUUUGGUUCCCUCAAUUCAAAACUAAAACGUGUAGUGUAAUGUAAUAUUAUUGCAACCACUGUGUAAUUUGAGAUUCAUAGUCUUAGCCUAAUAUACAUUGGCUUGUAACAGCCUUGAUCAGCUCACUUGAUUGUGAAUUCCUGACCUGCUCUCUACGGAGGAACACAUCAAAUUACCAACUCAUGCCUUGUUUAUAGAGAGAGCACAAUUUAGAACGAUAAACAGAUAUUAACUGGACGUGAAUGUUUAAUACACACACACACACACACACACACACACACACACACUCUAUAUAUAUAUAUAUAUACUAUAUAUAUAUAUAUAUAAAGCAGUGAGAGCAAAAGAUCUCAUUUGAAGUUUCAAAACAUUCUUCGUUGCAAAAUACUCCUGAUUUUCCUUGUACUACAGUCACAAUCUUUAGGUUUGAAAGUUGUCCUCAAUGCAUGCGGGGCGAGAUGAUUAACCCAUCCUAUAUGGACAAAUUUCUUUUGUAAGUUUGACCGUGGGCCUAUUCCCGUGUAAUUAUUUUGACUGAAUUUAGAUUUGGAUUUAGGAUAAACUUUUUUUCCCCGCUUUGCUGUUGCAUCUUUUAAUAGUUUUUUUAAACAGUUUAAAAAGAUAAAAUCUAGAAUAUACCCAAAAGUAGUUUUAAGUGAUCUGAUUUUGCUAAUCAAUUUUGACAAAAUCAACAAUGAACGAGAACAAACUGCCGAGUGGUUUUGGUGAACGAGAAGCCAAAUUUUGGGAAUGUAUUUUGAAAAGCGAGUGAUGCAUAACAAUUGUUAUCUAUGCCUCGAGACGCAGAGCCAGCAAACAAGAUGAUGGCAUGAAUUAACUGUACGUGCUCAUCUUUGAGUUUUCCAGUACUGUUUUUCCCACUUCUGUACUUGCUCUAUCGAAAUUUCUUUUCUCUGCAAAACUGAACGAAGAGUAGCAGGAUCAUAAGGAGGAGGCAUAGUACAUGGAGGCACCCCAGAGGGUCCUGCAGCAAAAGAAUCCAUCAUGUACUUCUUAAUUAAUCCCUCCGCUGGGCAGGCCAUUGACUCUGAACACAGCUCUACUGCUUGUCGAGGAACAGUUGGCUUGUACGUUAGAAGCUUACCAUACUCUGCCAACAGCUGAUACAUGUAAUCGUACACAUACUUCAUGUUUAAUUCCUCCUGAAUAAAUCUACUUGCUGCCUUGCCAAUAGCCUGUGCCUGUAAUAUCCAUGCAUAGACGCGUAUCUGUUAGAAAGCGUAUCAACUUUGAAGCUUGAUACACUGAUCAAACACCAUGUCAAGACUGGAAUUAGUUCAUAAUCAAAGUUAAGGGCAUACCUCUUGCUGAUGGCUAUUGCCCCAGUCGACUGCAUACUUGAUUGAUCUGCCCAUGGUAUCAUCUCUUAUGGGCCAAUAGUGUUGCAAUGGCAUCAAACUUCUUGUGAAGAAAUCAUAGUAAUGUUGCUUCACUAUCAGAGUAAGAGAAUCACAGGCAAGAAUGUAUUUUUCGCUCACAGACCAUCCGAUUCCUUCUAUAUAAAUUUUGUAUCUGUUCGGUUCAUUCAAGGGAAAAGGAGAGAAGGUCAAAAUCAAAAUUCACUCGAUCUGGCAUAGAGCAGCAUAAAAUUAAUGGAGAGCCUGAGUGCCCAGCUUCCACAGAAAUGACAGCUGGAAUGAUUGAGGAGCUAGAAAAUGAGCAAAAAUGUUCGCUUGUCAUUUUCAUCUUGUACCUGUGUUUGCAUUGGUUUGCUAAAUCGGAAUUUUUGAAACCUUCCUUUUGUUCUCGAUGCCAGUCCUGUAAACUAUAACUUGUUACAGACUGCCAAUGGGCCAUAAAUUUCAUAUGCAGGAGUACCAUUCAGCUAAUAAGUUUUUGUAUUUUCUUUCUUUCUAUAAUGCUUAUGAAUUACGGGAUAAAAGAAAAUCUGGGCACCUAAAUUCUAAUUCAAAGAUGAAACGGAAAUCUUGAAAACGAUAUAUACACUUAGGUUCAAAAGUAGAAUGUGGGAUAGCAUGCAAUAUUCAAAGAAUUAUGUGGCUAUGGUCAGCUAUAGUAAAGAUCAUCGGAUUUUAAUACCCGUCAGAACCUGCGGCCUAGUAGGUAAAUCUUUGAGGGAGACAAAAUCGAACAUUGAAAAGGAUGAACCAGAUUCCAUCACAUGUAUCAUCUGCCUAAAAUGGUUUUGGAUACACAAUAUAUGCAGUAUCUAUUACCUGAGCAUAAAUGCGCAGAUUCCAGUCGUGUUCAUCCGAAAGAUUGCACCUGAGCAAAUCCAUCCUCUUUGGUGAAACAUGAGGAUUGCCCUUCCAAAAUGCCAACGGUUCUCUGUCCAUCCAUUUUCUUCUUUCAUUCGCUUCUUUUAGGUCCUUGGACAAUGGUUCCCAUGGCUUUAUAUUAAUUUCUGGCCUGAAACAUUGAAAGUUUUUACCAGUAUCAAUAAAAAGGAAAGGUUCGUAUCAAUUUAAAUAAGCAUUAAAUCUGCUCUCUUUAGAGCACUUCUAAGGAUGUGAAGUCCUUAAUGAAAAAUUCACCGCAUGUAGUUGCAACAUGCUAGAUUUAUAGGUAAUCAAGAGAUUUAGAGAUAUAUUCCAACUCUCAAUUGCGUUAAGUAAUCGACUCGCCAUACUUGGGAAACAAAAUCAGAAGCAGCGGCUACACUUUUGGGUCAGUUUCGGGGCGGGGAGCCGAAGAGAGACCAGAAGAAUGAUUCAUUUGGAUUUCUGUUUCUGUCGCGACUGACGAAUCACAGUACAUAUCCAGUACAUGCUACCUUAACACCAUUAGUUAAGAUUACUAAAAAGUGGAGGAAAUGCUUACCAUCCCCAGAACGACCAAUCUGGAAAGACAAUGUCGAAGGUGGCAUCAUCCCCGUCAUAACUGAAUAAAGGUGGCGGUGCCUUAGCAUUGGCACUGGGGUAAUAUUCUCGCACAAUAUUGGGGCGAUCACCGCAGGUGAAUAUGAGGUCCAAAUCAGGCAGUCGGCCAGGGUGCCGCCGCAGCAACUGUAAAAUCCCCCACUGGGUAAAGAUGUCUCUAGUCUGAAACGAAUGCUUAUACGUUUCGACAUAAGCCGUGCCAUUCACUAUCACCAACCGGAAAGCAGCAUUCUUAUCCUUGGCUGCCUCAACCAUCUCCGGCGUGAUUCCCGUCUUUCUCCAAGGCAAUAAAUCUUCGUGUAUCCAACGGAAGUAUUCUGGGCAUUGGGGUUGCUGGGCCACUGCUUCUGACUUCUCGUAAAAAUCUUGUGAUGAGUAUUUUGAUGGGUAGUAAUUUGUUGGGCAAGUUUUUGUAACGUUAGCAAGCGAGCAAUUCAGGCGGAAUUCGGUUCUAUUCCUGUGCAACUUUUUCCCCGCGGGAUGAGUGUAUUUGUAAAAUGGUAUGCGGGGGAGUAUUGAUUUCUGCUGGAAAUUUCCAGCAAUUGACUGCAGAAUAUAAUAUUGAAUGUAAUGUAAAAGUCAGUACCAAUCAAUCAAAAUCUUAAAGGUAGCGUGUGGAGAAUAGAUUAAAAGGAUAAGACACAAGGAAAGGUACAGGGCACCGUUUUUCAAAAGCUAUGAGCGAUUGACCAAAGACUCCCUUCUCGCAUUUACUUCCAAUCUUUUUUCUUUCUUUGAAUGAUGUUAUGUCAUUGUGGAAAUUUUCAUUAAGGUACAAAACUCAUUUGUCAAAGACAUAUCAAUGGAAAGAUCCUCGAUUGCUAUCUUUUUCAGUACUAUUUGCAACUCUUGGAUAAUGUUGUCUAUUAUUAAUUAUAUGAGUUAAUUUUGUAUAUAUUGAUUAUGCAUAUACUAGUGAUAAGGGUUUGUUUGGAUAGUGUAUUAUUUGAAAUAUUAUUUGGAAUAAUUACUGUAGCACUUUUUGUGAUGUGAUGUAUGUGAGAUAAAAAAUAGUUGGGAAUAUAAAAAAGUAGGUUGGAAAAUGUGUUUGUGAUGCAAGCGAAAUAUUAUUUGGGAUAAUUUUGGUAUCCAAAAUGUGUAUAUAUUAUUGGCGUUUUAACAAAAAGUAGAUAUUAGUGGCUAUAUGUGCAUGCCACAUAAUUUUAUGGAAUUUUCUCACCAAGUUAAACACUUAAGAAUCACCUAAUAAUAAGUGAUUCUUGUAUGUCUAAGUUGGUUAUAUCCUAUUUUUACUCAUUAAAUUGAUAUAUUGAUUGAUUUUCAAAUUACCAAGAUGCCAAAAGUAAAAUAUAUUUCUCCAUAUAUUGAAUGAUUUCAGUAUUUAAUUCACAGGGAUGAUAAAGUCCUCCUACAGUUCUGUUUGUAGUUGUGACAACUGACAAAUGUCGCUCAUUAUUUUGAAUGCUCUUGUCUAUUCAAUAAUAAUAAAAAUAAAAAAAAAAAGAAUGAACUUCCACAGACAGUUCCUUUGGAGUUGUGGCAAAUGUCAUUCAAAUUUUAGUGGCACAAAAAAAAAAGAAAAAAAAGGGAGUGGAUAUAGCAAAAGGAAACAGAAAAACAAAUAUUCAUCAAUGGUAAGAAAAUUGAGGCCAUUAUUUUCAAUCAAUUACAUACCCGUUAUGGGUUUUGCCUUAUUUUCUACUUAUAGUUAUUGUAUACGGUUUGUCCGACGAGCGUCCAUAUAUAGAGCACUCGUUAAGAUAUCUUUUAGGUGUUAUAUUUUUUGAAAAUAUAUGAUUAAUUAGAGAAAAUAAAUAAAUACAAGACAGGGUAGACAAGAUUAAAUAUGAAAAGUAUAUAAAUACAAGAGAAAAUAAUAAUUAUAGAAUGUGUAUAUAUAUGAUAAGUUAGUUGAAUACUAGGUGUAUUAACGAGUGCCCUAACGGCACCCACCUGUUAGAAAAACCCUGUGUGGUUUAGAUGUAGUUAUUUCUUAAAAUAAGGAAUAACCUGAAUAAAAAGUCAAGAAGUGAAUAAAGGCAUCCAAUAAUUUAAGAUACAAUGAACUUCAGUCAAUAUAAAUCCCCAAAAGCAUCUGUACAAGAGUAUAGUUAAGGCAUAAAUCAACUCCAAGAUACUGUGGUGUUACACCACAACUCCUAUAACAACUCUUUUUGUAUAUAUAACUUAAGUUAUUAGGUAAAUCCGCAUACUCAUAUAUGUUGUCUCUUAUAUUUAGAUUCUUAAUUUUUCGAAUUAGAUAUAAAUCGUUUAAAAGUCUUAGAAAAUGAAAUAAAGUACGGUUUAAUUAUGAGCCAUUGGUGGAAGACUUGAUUAACGAUUUUAAAAGGAUACGCAUGUAGUAGAUUUUCUUUCCCUUAUACGUAGUUGUAGAUCAUAAUCUCAAUAUUGACAAUAAUUGUAAUUGUAAACUGACUGCAUGUAUAUUAUAGUCAAUAUUAUUGACUAAAAUGUAAUCUUGUUGUAACUUGUAAACGUUCAAUUAGCCAAAAAAAACACACGUUAAUUUUUUUUUUUUUUUUGGGUUCCUUCAAGUCAAGAAAAUAUGGGAGAGUGGUGUCAGGUGUGAGAGGAGGGCAAGACAGAAAGAGAUCAAAGAGUAUAAGCCGUAAAAGUGAGAAAGAAGUUUAGGCACUCACCGAAGAAUCGAUCAAACGCGUAGAGAGGAAUGCGGUAAUGCAGAGAAUGAUUAAAAACAGCAUGGCCAACGAAGAUCUCACCAGAGUAACUUCGGAUUUCCAUGGAAGUAAUAUCUUCUCCGUGCAGUACCUGUAUACCCCUAAUCCCUUGAGAAUACCCUGCAUCCGGCCGGCAACUUCCUCUCUCAUCUUCACUUUCUUCUUUCGUCCUUGUUGGAUUUAUUACGUAUAUCUCCGCAACCAAGUAUAACUUGCUCACUACCGAAUGAACUGGUUUACCUUUGCUUUACACCGCUUUGAUGUAUGUGAACCUGAUAACCUGCAGGUCCAUAAUAUUUGGUGGGGGUACGUAUAACACCAUAUGCUGUCAACUGCUUCGCAUGGCGAGAUGCUUUUUAACUUUAAGCAGUGACAGACACAAGAGAGUUGGGACGAAGCCUUGGAUCGAGGAGAGCUAUAAACUGUUUACAAUAAAGAAAACACCCUGGGUCUAUUGAGAAACUAGGGGAGGAGGAGGAGGGGAUGCAUACAAUUUCCACACAAGGAAAAAACUGCGUCCAUUGAGAAAUUUAUGGAGGAGGAGAGAGAUAACGACGACAGUCAUAGAAAGAAAAAAAUCUGAUUCUAUUUGGUAAGAGUAAGAAAUUAAUAGAGGAAGACGGUGUCUUAUUGACUGAUUUUAUUUAAAUAAUAAUUAAGACGGUAGAGAAAUUAAGAUGGAAGGAAUUGAGUUGUGGCCGUUUGAUAAGGGAUGAAAACGGCAACUAGAACUAGAGAGAAAGUAAGGGAAAAGGUCGUUUAGGAGGAACAAGUAUUACCAUAAAAAUUCAUACACUAACAAGUAUCACAGUAUCUUUGCAUUUAUAUGUAUAUAUAUAUACAUAUUUUUUCAAAUUAACAUUAUUUUUUAAAAAAUAUAUCUUAUGGACACUCGUUAGGCAGAUCGCUCUUGUAGUUUUAGAUAUACGAAUAAACUUAGUACGUACAAAAUUGGGGAACAGCACAGCACGAUCAAAAUAAUACUCUAUAAAGCGACGAGAUUCUUUAUUAGGAUGGAAUUAUGAACAAACUCAUCGGGCAGCAUCAGGUAGAGAAGGCAUACCGAAAUCAUGACGGCAUUAGGUAGAGAAGGCAUACAAAAUAUGUAGUAUUUCUUUCUGCCACUCUUAUUGAAAACACACGUUUGACAUUCUGCAGCGCCUCUAUAGGUAGAUAAGUCCUUUAAUUAAUAACCUCAAAGAAAUCGAUUUUUGAUAUUUGAUUUAGCAGGGUAAUAAUAAAUAUAUAUAUAUAUAUAUAUAUAUAUAUAUAUAUAUAUAUAUAUAUAUAUAUAUCAAAAAGGAAUACAGGACUAUCAAAGUGAGACGGAGGGAGUAAUUUUUACGCUCAUCCCGGUGUUUCUAUUGAAUAUUUGACAUGCUACCGACGCCUAUUGUAGUAAAAUCACACAAUUUAUUUAUUUAUUUUUUUAAAAAGCAGGAUAACAGAAGAGGGCACCAUUUUCAAAACAAUUGAAACAUGAAAGCCCCACCAUCAAAUAUGCUUAAUGAUUAAAGAUUUUGACAAAAAAAAUAAAAAUAAAAAUAUGAUUAAAGAUUAAAACCACGUUGCAACGGCAAAUGAUGUCACAGCCGAAAUUUCAUAUCUGCAGCUAUGUUUGUUGUUGAUUAAAAUGAUAAAAUUACGCCUUUCAAGUCCAACUUGCAUUUUGGUUUAAUAAGGAGGACAAGUUUGAGCAUUUAUUACAAGAAUAUUAUAUAUAGCUGUAGAUAUAAAAUUUGAACCGUGGAAACAUCUCUCACUAUGACUAAAAGUAAAAGGGAAGCAUCCCAAAUGGAACGGAAGUAGCAGGGUGGACCUGGAAACCGCAUAGAAAUAUAUAAAGUUAAGUUGGCCCUUAAUGGCAGAUGCAGUCAUUUUUUUUGGCAAAACCGGUUUCUGCAAAUCCUCUUUGUAUUGCGCACGUUUGCACAGGAAUUUUUUUUUUUUUUUAAUAAAAUUUUUGACAGAUGCAGGGAAAUUGAUGAUGACAAAUUAACCAGCUGAAGAAGAAAAACAUGUCGGCCCGUCUAAUUAAUUGUGAUUGGUUUGAGUAUCCCAAUACUGUUUUUCCCACGUCUCUACCUGCUUUAUUAAAUCUUCUUUUCUCUCCAAAAUUGAAUGAAGAGUAGGAGGGUCGUAAGGAGGAGGCAUGGUGCAUGGAGCUGCCUCAGAGGGACUCGUAACAACGGAAUCCACCAUAUAUUUCUUCACCAAUCCAUCAGCCGGACAGGCCAUUAACUCGGAACAAAGUUCAAUUGCUUUCGGAGGAACGCUUGGCUUGUAUUUCAGAAGCUUAGCAUACUCUGUCAAGAGGUGAAACAUGUAAUCAUACACAUAUUUCAUUUGCAGCUCCUCUUGUACAAAAUGGCUUGCUGCCUUGCCAAUGGCCUGUGCCUGUGAUAUAAAACCUUGCUCUUGAGUUGGAUGAUAAAACUUGUUGCCUAGAAAUUGACUAGCAGAUUGUAUGAUCAGCACAGCAAGAAUGGCGGCCUUAAAUGAAUAGAAGGCCAACUAAUUUACCUCUUCCUGAUGGGUAUUGCCCCAGUGAACAGCAUACUUAAUUGAUCUGCACUUGUCAUUCUCUCUUAUGGGCCAAUAGUGUUGCAGAGGUAUCAAACUUCUUGUGAAGAAAUCGUAGUAACGUGGCCUGACCACUAAACUAACAGAGUCACACGCAAGAAUGUACUUUUCGCUUACGGACCACCCAAUUCCUUCGAUGUAGAUUUUAAAUCUGUAUCAUUCGUGCAAGGAUGGAACUAAAUCAAAGUUUACUUACCUAACCAUACUUACAAGAUAGUGUAAUAAACAUGGUUCACAAUAUCCGCCGAUACCGAUACGUAUCGGCCGAGUCGUAAUUGGAACGGAGGGGAUUGGUACGAUACUGAUUUCUGAAUCGCGGAUAUGGUAAUAUCUGCGACAACUCGUUCUGACUCGGCCGAUAUUGGCCGAUUCGAAUCCGUGAUACAUGAUAUCGGCCGAUAUAUCCGAGUCAACUCAGAGUCGAUUUAGAUAUUUUUUCAAAUUGUGCAUUUUUUGAUAUUUUCUAAUUGUAGUAAUUUUUUCAAAAAUUUUGGAAACUUUUAUGUACUAUAAUGUGUGUAUCAACCGAUAUGUCGCGACGAAUGUGGAACAAUCGAGACCGCGAUGCAAUCGCGACUCGCGACGGCGAACCAUGGUAAUAAAUGACUAAAUGAAUGCAUUGUUGUUUUAGUCGAAGGAUUUACUUGUUCUUACCUGUGAAUGCAUUGGUCAGCUAAGUUAGAAUUUUUGAAACCCUGUCGUUGUUCACGAUGCCAGUCCUGUUGAUUCAGUGUAAAUAUUAAUAAUCAGAGUUGAGUCCUUUGCCCACGUAUUCAAGAAACACAAGAUUCUACAGAUUGGUGGUUAGCUUUUCUUUCUUUUCUUAUCCCCGAAUGGAGGAAAUUUGUAACAAAUUUUAAAUUUAUAGAUAAUUAAACGUCAGGCCCACCUUUCAUUCUCUACCCAGAAUUGAAGAACCAUAAUUAAAUACAGUACAGUACCUGAUAAUAGAUACGGGCAUUCCAAUCUUGCUUGCCCGAGACAUGGCAAUUGAGUAAAUCCCUCCUUGAAGCCGUAAGUCUAGCGUUGCCCUUCCAAUAUGCGUGUGCUUCCCUGUCCACCCAUCGCAUCCGCCGGUUCCCUUCUUUUAGCUCCUCGGACAAUUGCUUCCAUGGCUUUAUAACAAUUUCAGGCCUAGCCAUUUAUUUGUUCCAAUACAUAUACAAACGGUAGACUGUAAACAAAAACAAUGCUGUGUUUCUGACUCUUAGCCAAGUUAAUAGUAGUAUAAUUUAAAACUUGAAAUGCUUACCAUCCCCAGAAUGACCAAUCCGGGAAAACAAUGUCGACGGUCGAAUCAUCUCCGUCGUAGCCGAACAGCGGUGGUGGGGCGGUGGCGUUGGAUUUGGGAUAACAUUCUUUAACAAUACCCGGCCGGUCCGCGCAGCUGAAUACGAGAUCCAAGUCGGGCAAUUUACCCGGGUACCGCCGUAGCAACUGUAAAAUUCCCCACUGCGUGAAAACAUCUCUCGUCUGAAACGACCUUCUAUAAGUCUCCACGUAAACCGUCCCAUUCACUAUAACCAGUCGGAAGUCUGCCCUUCUUUUAGCCGCCUCCACCAUGUCUAGUGAAAUUCCAGUCUCCCUCCAGGGCGACAGGUCUUCGUGGAUCCACCGGAAGUAAUCUGGGCAGGCCUCGGGAGCGGCCGCGUCUUCAUCUCGUGCUGAAAGAUUUGGUGGGUGGUAAGUUGUUGGGCAAGUUCGUGUGCUGUUGGUAACAGCGCAAGUCAAUGGGAUUUCAAUCGGAUUCCUCCUGGGCUUUGUCCAUGGAUCAUGAAGAGGGUAUUUUGAAAAUGUGACGCCACUGAAUAUUGAUUUUCGAGAGUAAUUCCCUGCAUUCCACUGAAACACAUUUUCAAAUUACCAAAUACGAGAGAUAUCACAAGCCAAAAGGUACUUGAAAUAAACAAACGAAUCAUCCGAUCUAGGAUUUCUUGGCAGUAAUAAUAUCAGUUUAUACUUGCAAGAUACGUUUAAUUCCAAAAAAACAAAAAAAAGCUUGUAAGUCGAACCUUCAUGGGUCAAAUUCUUACAUUAAUACUCAUUCUAAUUUGGUGCAGUAUGGUACUAAAAAAAUCAAGGGAACUCAUACUAAUUUUUUACACUUACAAUAGUCAGUAUGGUACUAUGACCUUUGCCGACUAUGACAAUAACAAUUCUGUCAAAUAAAUAUUAUUAAUGCGAGGUCAUGAAUAACAACAAAAGGCGGGAUGGGAUGUCCUGUUCGUUGAGAACGAUCUCAUGGUUUAAAUAAAUGCCAGCCAGGGCCAUGUCCGCUUCUUCUCUUCUGUCGGCGGCAACCUGUACGAGAAUAUACUUGAUUUCUAAUGCUUACUUCCACAAUCCUUCUCUCACUCUUGACGCUCCUAAACGCUUUAGAAAUGAAGCGGAAAUUCUAUUUGAGAGUCAAAUAUAUACGAGAGAAUGUUUACAACAGAAAACCAAAAAAAAAGGUGCAUGAAAGAUUAGAAUUCCAUAGCAAAUGAAAAAUAAGUGGCAACAACGAGAGUAAAUUCCGAAAUUAUUUUGGGAAUUUCUUCGCUAAGUUUCUUCUUCUGGCAAUCCACCUUCUCCACCCAAAUGGAAGACUGUGUGUGUUAUCCCAGAAGAGGCUGCAAGGAUCUGACUUCCGUUUGGUGCUGUACUGUACUGAUUCAACUCGGACUAAUUUACUGAACAUUAGAAAAAGCUUAAAAUGUCCAGCAGGAUCAGUUUCUCUCUUGAAAAAAGAAAAAGAAUGAAAAGAUCCAGAAGUGCGAAAAUCAUGUACUAAGUUAAUACAGAGAUAAUUACCCUGAAGUCGAGCAAGCGUGCCGAGAAGAAAGCCGCAAUGCACAGAAUGAAUAAGAAUAAUGUAGCCAGAUAAGAUAAGCAGCGACGUUGGAGAAUCCCUUGCAGUAAUGCUGCCGAAUCUCUCAUCUUUGCAUUGGCCAAAUAAAUGCGUCUCCAACUUCCUCUUCUAGCCUAGAGAGCAUUGACUAGAUGCAUCUCUGCCCCGCUCUUGAAGAAGGCACUGAUUCAGCAUUGCAAUACCAGCUGAUCGAUAGCUGAUCUUGGCAACUAUUAGUAAGAAAUUCGACUAGUCGUUGUUUUGAUUGCAAAGACAGAAAGCCUUAGCUUUCACAUGGCCAAAGCGUUUCUUGAGCAGAAAGCAUGGUUUUGGAGUUGCUAAUUAAACAAACAGAGAGCUGAAGAUGGAGCAAACAAAUGCGCCGUGAACGAGGGAGGAGCAAAUGAAUAUUGUGUAAAGUGUACUGUUCACGUUGACCUCGCAUUGCUUGGAAGUGCGGGCUAACUAUGUAGAAUUUCACAAUAACUUGAUGAACUAGCCAUUAAAUUUUCCUGAAAUAUUUUAUUGGCUCGAUGAUUUUCUUUUCUUUUCUUUUCUUUUUUUUAAUAAAAAAAUUGACUAUUUUAUGAUCGAAACUUUCAGCUGUUUAGUUCGCCAGUUUUUGUCUAUCAUGUCAAAUGAAAUGGAAGAGAUCAUGAUGUAGUUACACACUUCAGAGUGGACCCCUAGGAAAUUUUCUUAUCAGCAAUCACCAAAUUGCAAGAACAAAUCAGAUGUUGGAUUAGGAGUCGUUAUCAAUCCAAGUAUAGCAUUUGCCUAUUUUGAGGUUUUUCAUUAGGAUAUACAACUUUGACACUUCUUUCUGAAGCUUCUCGUUUCUCUAGAAUUUAAAACUUCAAUCUGACGAAGUAUAUAUAUCCUUAAAGGCGAAAGCUUCUCUCUCCCUCUCGUUCCGUGAACACAUUUUCCUAUCACCUUUUUAUCUCACAUACAUUAAAUCGCUACAGUAAUUUUUCUACAAAAAAUCCAGAAAAAUGCAAUCCAAACACAGUAGUACUAUCUACUUCUUUCUGUCAGGAUGAAGAAAAAGAAAGCUGGCCAUUGGAGGAGGAGGAAAAAUAUUUUGAUCCUAAAAGCUUCCUUUGAGGACACUGAAACUUUUCUAAGAAUAUAACUAAGUAAAUAAUUUUAUUGGAGAAGGGUACUGUGUUUGUAUAUUAGAUUGUUUGAGAUAUUUUUUUUGAAAAAAAAAACACUGCAACACUUUUCUAAUUUAAUGUAUGUGACAUAAAAAUGUGAUUGAAAAAUAUAUUGAUGAUACAAACAAAUAAAAUUUGACAAAUAAUCUACUACCCAAACAAACCAGCAAUUGAAAAACUGAUGAAGCUUUUCUGGUCAAACCAGUGGUAGGCGUGGAAUAAAAUUUUAACAAAGUUGUUGGACAAGGGGCAUGACAAGAUAAUACUACUAUUGAUAUCAAAUUGUUGAUGGAAACGUGAAAGCUUUAUAAAUCACUAUAAGUUGCCAACUUGUGAUGCACUCUUGAUUUUCUUAUGCUUUUUUUUUUCUAAUUAUUGUUAUUAUUUUUGGUAGGGUAUGCUAUUGUGCCACGAAGCGUAGCUAAGCAGAUCAUAGAGCAAACAAAGUCAGGGGAGGCUAGUUUGAAGUUUCUAGAUGUUAUAGUUACUCAUUUUGUAUUUGAAGAAUUUGAUUCUAGUUCAUUGAAAACAAUUGAACCAAACUCCUGGCGACAAAUUUUAAUCAGCUACCCUCUUCUCUUUUUUUUUUUUUUUUUUUUCCUUCUUUUUAUUCAGAAAAUGAUGAAAGAUUACUCAAUUACUCAUCAACAAUGGUAAGAGGAAAGUUUCUUUGACUGGGAACUGCCAAACUUUGCCAGACCUGAUUCGGUCCAGCGCGCGUCGCGUUGCCGCUGCUUCUCGUUAGUCGGUGAGGACCGAGCAUAGGGAGGUGCCCUUGCCAAACCUUUAGGGCUAAAAGGUUGACCUGGUCGCAAAUUCUUGCAGUGGUAACUAAUAAAUUAGUACAACAGGUCCCAUUGGAGCCCGUAGCAUGCCCUGAGUUUAGAAUGCAUUUACUUCUAACACAAAUUGAAUUUGAUUUUGUAACGUGAGGUGCAUAUAUUACAAGGAAAUGAGAAAUUUGCCUUAAAUUAAGCUGAUUUUUUUUUAAAAAAAUUUCCUAAUAAGGAAAGGAUAUAAUUUAAGAAGUCGAGCGGGGGAAAGAAGAUUACAACCUAAAACCUCUAAAUUUUGAAACCUUUGGUUUAAUCAUUAGAUCAAAACAUUCUCAGCAUGCUAAAUUAAAUAGAUAAUUCAACUAUUUUGGCUAAAAAAAUGAAUACUUGAUGGAAUCUUUAUCCGCAAAUCAUAAUUCUUAUUUAUUUUGUGGAGGUUAUAUCGUUUAUAUCUACAUAUGUGUAAUUUCGUGUUUUCUCCCUAAUUAUUGGUUUCAUUAAUGGCACAUGAUAUGUCAUUUUUUGGGCAAUAUUUGCAAUCUAAAAUAAUUAACUCGAAUCCAGUUUCAAGUUUAAAAACUUUACUGGCCAGAUUAAUCCAACUAGACAACAAAAGGGAAAGAAAAAGUGAUAGAAAGGAUAGAAAGAAUAGACAUUUCAUGAAAGGAUAGAAAGAAAACAUAAUACGCAUAAACCUAAUGCGUAUAACACAUAAGAUAACAUGAUACGCAUAAAAAAGAGAGAGAGAGAGAGAGAAAGAAAAACAUACGUUUAGGUAAUAAAAAAAAAAAAAAAAAAGAAGAAGUGCAACUAAGUAUGCUUCUUUUGAGUCUCCCAAUAUUGUUUUUCCCAGGCCUCGACUAGUUUUGUUGUGUUCCGUUUUGUCUCCAAAAUUGAACGAAGGGUUUGAGGAUCAUGAGGAGGCAUGGAGCAGGGAGGGGAAUCAGAGGGACCUUUGAUCAUACUGUCCAUCAAAUACUUCUUCUUCAAUCCGGCCGUGGGGCACGCCAUCGACUCCAAACAAAGUCGAACCGCUUUUGCGGGAACAACAGGCUUGUACUUGAGAAGCUUAGCGUACCCAUUCAAGAGAUGAAACAUGUAGGGUCUGUUUGGUUGGAAGUAAAAUGUUUUCCUUGGGAAAAUAUUUUCCGUGGAAGUAAUUUUCCAUGAAAAUCAUUUUCCUUUCAUCAUUUUCAGGUGUUUGGUUAGCUUAUUGAAAUAUUUUCUUACUUCAUUUUUCUGAUGUUUGUUUAACUUUUGAAAUAUUUUCACUUUUAUCUCUAUCUUUACUUUCUACACAUUAUAACUACAUACUUCUUCCCAUGCAAAAUAAGAAAAUUUAUCUCAUUGUUUAACUUUAAAAAAUCUUGGAGAAAUGUAUAUAUGAAUAAAAAAUAUCUUCUUAAGCAAUAAACAAAUUGCUGGCCAUUUAGUGUCAAAUAUCAAUCACAUGCAAUGCUUAUUGUGACAUAUAUCUUGCACUCUCACUGCUAAAAGUUUCUCUAGAAAAGAAUGUCCCUAUUAUACAUAAUUAAUUACUAGUAUAGGAUGAACAUGAUGAGAUUUUUUUUUUAUUUUGAAUAUACUAGGGAGAGGGUUGGGUGGUACGGGGGAGGGAGUGUAAGGAAGAGGUCUUGGGUUUGAGUCAUCCUGUUUACACUAAAAAAAAAAAAAGAACAUACUAUAAGAUGUUUUCAAUAAGUUUGGAACAUACUACAGGCGGGAUGCAUGCAUUUCGGAAAACAACUUCAGUAAGUUUGGAAGGGAAGUUGUUUUCCAUAAGAUGAGUGAAAAUAUUUUACAUAGGAAAAUGUUUUCAGUAACUUUUGUGCAACCAAACACGGGAAAUUAGGAAAAUAUUUUCCUGGAAAACAUUUUCACCUGAAACAAACGGACCGUAGUAAUCGUACACGUUUUCCAUUUUCAUUUCUUCUUGAACGAAUUUGCCAGCUGCCUUGCCCAUGGACUGUGCCUGCACUGGUGCAAGCGUGAUUGGAAGUAGUUUUUUUUUUUUUUUUAAGUUUAAUAAACUAUCUUAUGAGUUGAAUAUCUGAAAACAUUCGCAUAGGAGAAGUUGAGAAUGGAUUAAAGGAGAGAUUAAAUUACUUCAUCCUUGCGGUGGUUGCCCCAUUCAACAGCAUACUUGAUAGACCUGCACUUGUCAUUACCUCUUAUAGGCCAGUAGUGUUGCAAAGGCAUCAAACCUCUGGAGAAGAAGGUGUAGUAACGGGGACUCACUCGUAAAGUAACAGAAUCACAGGCAAGAAUGUAUUUUUCACUUACUGACCACCCAAUUCCUUCCAUGUAGAUUUUAUAUCUGCAUGCAUGGUUCGAGCAACGGAGGAGACAAAUCAAUACUUGCGCUGAGCAUUUUACUUUUAGCAUUCACAAUAUAAUACAGGGACAAAGUCCCAGCAGCCACUUCCAAAAUUUUAGAACAGCAUACACUGAUCUGCAAAACUCUUUGAGUACCAGCACUGCUUGCACAUGAAGCUGUAAUAUACCUGUGGCGACAUUGAUUUGCAAAACUCGCUCCUUUGAAACCUUGCUUCGAUUCUUGACCCCAAUCCUGCAAAAAUCUUUUAAACAUGAACCUCUAAUUAAUGAAGAAGAUGAUGAAUCGUUCACAACUAGAACAAGAUUACUCUAUCUGUUACCUUAACUCCAAUGCGAUUUCCUUUUAAAAAAAAAAAAAAAAAAAAAUGGAUGUGUUAGUUUUAUUUAAGAGUACUUUACUUUAGUAUUUAGCCUGGCAAUCAAGGUCCUGCUUCAUCGCUUUUGAAGGAGGAUUAGCGCAUCAUCUAUUUAUUUAGACCUGUUUGAUAAUUCAAUUCAACACUUAAACAUAAUUGGUUCAAAUCUACGUAUUUGAUAACCAAAACUAGAACAUCUAAAUUCAUUAAGUGGCGCUGAAUUUUUUAGGCAAACUUUUCUCUAAAAAAUAAAUGAUAUUUACUUAAAUGUAUCAAAUUUUGUACUUAAUAAUUCACUGAUUUAAUAGAUUCUGAUUUCAAAUUUCAGAUUUAAAACUUCAAAUUUCAACUUUCAAACUUCAAUUUUAUCAAACACAUCCUUACUAAAUAACUUCCUCUUAAUCACUUAUAAGAAGGAGAGUUUAUAUAUAUAUGCUGCAAAUUAGCGAAAAUUCCAAAUUCCGCCACCACUUGUAUGUAGAGAAAUUUAUGAAGCUUUGUUACCACUACGUAAAUACGAGCAUUCCAAUCCUCUUUGUCUGAAUCGUUGCACUUGACCAAGUCCAUCCUGUCUGCGGACAUUAUGGAUCCCUUCCAGUAAGCAUGUUCAUCCCUGUCCGCCCAUCUACUCCUUCCAUUUGCCUUUUUUAAGUCCUUUAACAGCCCCUCCCAUGGCUUUACACCAGUGUUAGGCCUACAACAUUUAUAUAAACAAAUAAUAAGCGCUAAUUCCUGAUUUAAAAAAAAAUAAUCACAUUAGGUUUGACACAAAACAAAAAGAAAAAGAAAAAAUUAUUUAAACAUACAAACAGGAUCCCAUCAAUUUAUUCUAGAAUGUAAAUUUGCCUCAUUUCUAUGGAGUUUGGAACUUGCCUCAUAUCCAAGGAGUAAUUUGCAUAUUACGACCACCAAAAAAAAAAAAAAGAGAAAGGAAGAAGAAGAGAAGAAAGAAAGAAUCGUACCAUCCCCAGAAUGACCAAUCUGGAAAAACGAUGUCGAAGGUGGCAUCGUUUCCAUCAUAGCCGAAGAGUGGUGGCGGGGCCUUGUCACCGGGCUGAGGAUAAAGAUUUUUCUUAAUAAUUGGGCGGUCCCUCAUGUGAAACAUUAGGUCCAAGUCAGGCAUUUCACCGGGAUAUCUCCGUAGCAACUGCACAAUCCCCCACUGCGUAUAAAUGUCUCUAUUGUAACGCGACUUUGAGUAGGUCUCUACGUAAGCCUUCCCAUUCACUAUUACCAAUCUGAAAGCAGCCUUUUCCUUAGCCUUCUUCACCAUGUCCAGUGUUACUCCGGUUUCUCUCCAGGGCGAUAGAUCUUCGUGGAUCCAACGGAAGAAAUCAGGACAGGUAGGCUGUGGUUUUGAUGGACGUUCUUGAUUUUCAAAGUGACCAAGUUCGGAUGGGGAUUCAUUUCCAGGGCACGUCAACUUGCUGUUACCGGGCAAACAGUUCAGUUGGGUUCCAUGAAUCUUGUUCUUAGUCUCAGGUGCUGAUAUUGAUUUUUGCGAGUAGUUGUGAGGACUUUUCUUCUCAAACAUCAUGCUAGCAGAUGUUGAUUUUUGCAGGUAGUUCUGCACAUUUACGAGUAACUGAGAGAGUUGUACAAAUGAAAUCACAAAUCAAAAAACAUCCAUUCAGCCUGGUCCGGAAAAUCCUACAUUCUUUUCCCUUGAUAUAUAUAUCAUCAAUAACUAACGAUCAAUCUAGUCAAUGACCGAUCACAUAAAUCUCUAUUUAUAGACAUCAAAGUUUGGUAUCAUCAUAAAACCUUCACUGUAGUUCUACGGUGGAAGUUGGGCACAAAACUGGAAACUGUGGCAUGCAUAAUUAACCAGAAAUUAAGGAGAGAGUUAUUAGAGGUUUUACGUACGGAUGGGUCGAUAAAGCGUGAGUAGGCAAAAGCAGCCAUGCAGGAGAUGACGAAGAUUGACAAAGGAAGCCAAGAUCGCCAGUUAUGAUGCCCAAAUCCAUGCACCUCUUUAUCUCUCAUCUUUACGUUGUCCAGUCCUCCUUAUACGCCUUAUUUUUUUUUUCCGUUUAAGACGCCGUUAGAUCACCGGCUAGCUUACCACUCUUGGUCACUCUGUGUUCCCCACUUGAACGGCCUUCGUCGUUGGAUUGCAGCGAAAGUCUUUAAUAAGUUUUUUUCUAUUUUUUUUUUCGGGCGAGCGAGGAUUUGGGAAUUGGGAUUCCCCAGUUGGGUUGCAGAUGAACCCCGUGUAUGCAUAUCCCACGAAGGAAGGAUGUAAAGCCAAGAAGUUAAAUCAACUUUAAGCUAUAAAAAUAGGUUGAUGACAUAGGGAUGGAAGCUGUUAAUGCUCUAUUGACUUGCAUUGCAGCUUUGGGGCUCAUUAAAGAUAAACUACGGCUAAUUGGUGAUGUUUCCUCGUCAAACAGGUAACUCAGACUCAAAUCCGGUGGGAGAAGGCACUUGAAAGUCACCCGGCCCCUAACUAAUUCUCGGGUUGGAAUUCUCUACAUUGGAUUUCUCUCCGUUGGUCUCUCUAUUUCAAUUUAUUUAAAGGGUAUUGUUAUUUGCGCUUCCCCUAUGUUAUUUGCAUUUUCACUAUCACAUUUUUAUCUUGAUGAGACCAUAUUAUCUCUGUCCUGAUUUCUUUUCCUAUCCUAUCUUGUGUUCGCAUGCAAGGAAGUUAGGUACAAUUGCGUACGUGUUCAAAAGGAAAAAAAAAUUAAUUUUUGCUUCUCUUUUUCUAAAUCUAAAUAACUGUUUUUAAUUUAUUUUUCAUAUUCUUAUUUGAAUUUCAAUUUUCCAGAUUUUUUAUGAGCACGAUUGAGCUUCUAUUGCAUCAUUUUGAUAUUAGAUGCUGUUAUGCUUUUGUUGAAAUAUGCUAGAAAGUUUCAUUCUCUCUAUGGUGGCUAUAUGAUCUAUUCUCAGUAGAGUUUUUAAAGAAUUAGUGUCCUAUUUAUAAGACGUUAUAGUUAUACUCAAUUUUUGGUCAUCUUUGACACUUGAAUUUUUUUAUUUAUUUGUUUUUUUUUUGGGCUUGAAGUUUGGACUCUAUUCAUAUUACAUUGCUAGAUUGAUUUUUGACAUCAUAUAAUUUCUUAAAGUUUUAUUGAAAAAUACAUAAUACAUAUUAGUGACAAUUUUAAAUUAGCCAUUUUAAUGUGUAAUGGAAUAAUUAAUUGAUUUUAGAAUGUAAGAGAAAAUCUAGUAAAGUUAACUCAUAAACAAAGAGAUGAAAUUAGGGAGAGGAAAAUAUGGUCUUAUCAAAAUAAAAAUGGAAUAGUGAAAGUGCAAAUAACAUAUGGAGAGUACAAAUAACAUUACCUUAUCUAAAUUACUAUAACUUUAUAAAAUCAUCCGAUUGUAUCAUUACUUUUCUUUUAAUUGUUAGAUCAACAUACUAAAAACUAAUAUUCUUUUGAGAAUAUUUUGACAUUCAAUUUAUAUGAAACAUUUGAACAAUGAAGAACGAGUCAAAAUUUAUAAUGAUUAAAACAACAAAAUUUAGUCAAUUUCAUAUUAAAUUUUAUGUAUAACUUAUACCAGUGAUGAAAUAUAUUAUGCAUGGUGUUGAUUUUUGAAAAUAAUUUUUAAAUUAAUUUUAUUAGGAUAUAAUGGGGAGAAAUUCUUUCCAUUGCAAUGAAGAGGUGUUUAGCCCACUAAUCCUCUACUUCCACUCUCAUGGGACAAUGCUACAGUUCGUGAGUCACGCUAAUGGGGUAAAUUUUUCAGUUCAAUUGACAUUGGUGACAAGUCGGAUGUUAUAGUAUCGUGUUAGUAUAAUUAAUAUUAGUGCUAAUAAAUUUAUAGGAAAAUUAGUAAGUAUGUCCCUAAAGCAGUAAGUUUAAUCACAAAUAGAAAUUUACGCUUUCAGUAAUCAAACUUACUUACUACUUGACAAAUUUUAUUUUUCUUUAAAUUGAAGGAAAAAUUUUGCUUCUUUUUUGAAGAAAUCCUCAACCUUUUCAAAUUUUAAUAAAGACUUCUACCACAUGCAAAAAAUGAAUUAAAUUAAAAAAGGUCUAUCCAUUUUUUAUGUGGAUUAAAAACGUUAAAAAUUGGUUAACGCUUAUGGACAAAAAGAGGAAGCAGGCAGAAAGGUAAAAAUGCAUAACUAGUUAUGUUUAUUUCGAGCGUCCCAAUACUGUUUCUCCAACGUCUCAGCUUGCUUCAUUGAAUUCUCUUUUCUCUCCAAAAUUGAAUGAAGAGUUUGUGGAUCAUAAGGCGGAGGCAUUGUGCAUGGCGGUGCAUCGGAUGGACCUCUAACAAAAGUUUCCAUCAUCAUUUCCUUCACCAAUCCCUGUGCAGGACAAGCCAUAAACUCGGAACAAACUUCGACCGCUUUCGGAGGAACACCUGGCUUGAAUUUCAAUAGCUUAGCGUAUCCGCUCAACAGGUGAAACAUGUAGUCAUACACGUAUUCCAUCUUCAACUCCUCUUGUAUGAAACUGCUUGCUGCCUUCCCAAUGGCUUGUGCCUGUCGUGUAUAUGAAUCUUUGUAAAUGAGAAAGGUUGGUCAUGGUGCAAAUUAAGCCAUCAAUUACCUCUUGCGGGUGGGUGUUGCCCCAGUCAACAGCAUGCUUUAGUGAUCUGCACUUGUCAUCAUUUCUUAUCGGCCAGUAAUGCUCCAAAGGCAUCAAACUUCUUGCAAAAAAAUCGUAAUAACGUGGCUUCACUAGUAAGGUCAGAGAAUCACAGGCGAGAAUGUACUUCUCACUCACAGACCAUCCAACGCCUUCGAUAUAGAUUUUGUAUCUGUAUAUAUGGUUCGGGCAGUUAGGAGUUACAAGAUCAAAGUUCAACUAAAGUAGGCAAAUAGCAGCUAUCAUUAAACCUUGAAAAAGAAGGGUCAUGUGUAAAAAAAAAAAUAAAAAAAAAAACAAUGCUACACAUCAUAUCACACACCUUAAUAAGAGUGAAUUUUGCCCCUUAUAUUCCAACUAAACUAGUGAUUGGCUAGAGUUAAUGAUUACCAUGUACAGAGUAACAAAAAGCCAGAAAAGGGAUCAACCACAAGCGAAGACAAGAGAUGGCAAGAAGUAAUCACCGUAAAGGUCUACUCUACCUGUGUGUGCAUUGGCUUGCUAAGUCAGAUUGUUUGUAACCUUGCUGCUGCUCACGAAUCCAGUCCUAUACAAAGUAUAAUCUGUGAGAUCUUUAUGCAAUUGACCUUUAUGUUAAAAUCAAUUAUAAUGAAAAAGAAGGAUAAUUUAGCGACACUGCCAAAUUGGACUUAAUUCUAGAAACGUGUAACUCCAGUUUAACACUUAAAAAUGCAUCGCCGAAUAGAAUGAGGUUGUGGUACCUGAGAGUAAAUGCGAGCAUUCCAAUCCUGUUUGUCUGAAACGUUGCAUUUUGCCAUAUCCAGCCUGUUUCGUGCCACUGCAGGGUUCCCCUUCCAGUAAGCAAGUGGCUCCCUCUCUACCCAUCUACUCCUCUCAUUCCCUUCUUUUAGAUCCUUUGACAAUGACUCCCAUGGCUUUAUAUUCAGCUCUGGCCUGCAACAUUUUUUCUCACGAGUAAACAAACUUAAACCCCACAUUCGUCGAUACAGGUAAAGCUAGCUCAUAAAAAAGUUUUUCUUCUUCUUCCUCUUUUUUCUUCCAAAAGAAAAGCCUAGAAUGAAAAUUCAGAACUAAAAGAAAAAUGCUCGGCGGUUGAAGUCUUCUCAAUGCAUUUCUCAUCUUCGAUCCCACAUGAAUUUUCACACAAGAAUCUUUGUACUGGAAUAAAAUAGAGGGGUAGUGAUCAUUAGACGAAUCUGUUGCAUCGUACGUAUAUAGCUUUUUCUUCUUUCUUUUUAAGGAAAAAAAUUUAAAGAAUCUGAUUAUGUCUGUAGAUGCAUGCCAAGUAUAAGCAAAUCGUACCAUCCCCAGAAUGACCAAUCUGGAAAAACAAUGUCCAAGGUGGCAUCAUCUCUACAGUAAGCGAAUAACGGCGGCGGGGCCAGUGAAUUUGGUCCGCUUUGAACUUCCUUCAUGAUAGCCGGCCGGUCGUUGCAGUCAAACAUGAGUUCCAGAUCAGGGAGUUGACCUGGGUACUUGCGCAAUAACUGAAGAAUCCCCCACAACGUAAAGGUGUCUCUACUAUGAUGCGACCUCCUGAACUUCUCCACGUAAGCCCUUCCAUUGACUAUAACCAAUCGGAAAUGGGCUGUCUUCCUAGCCAUGCUCAGCAUCUCCAACGUAAUUCCUGUUUCUCUCCAUGGCCAUAGGUCUUCGUGGAUCCAACGGAAGUAAUCUGGACACGUAGGUUGAGGAGGACUUGUAGCAAUGUUCUGAUCUUGUACGAGAAGCUGUGAUGGGUAGUAAUUUGCUGGGCAGGUCCGCUUCGAGAUUCCAGCUGUGCAGUUAAGCGGGAUUUCAAUUUUCUUUACGGGGAAUUCAUCAGAUUGGGUGGUUUUCUUGGUAUACUCUCUACUGUGGUAGUUGUGAAAUGUUAUGCCUGUGAAUAUGGAAUGCUCUGAGUAGUUUUGAGCAAUCGACUGCACAAGGUUAAGAAAAUUGUAGCGUCAAAAUCUAAGUUCUUAAUUUUAUUUUUUUUUUUUUGGAAGGGAGUUCUUAAUUUUUUGUUCGCGUUCUCUAAUUAGCAUCUAAAUCAUGGAAAACAAAUGGUUUAACUUGAACCUUAAUUAAGUUUACCACCAUAAAUUCUUUACGUAGCUAGCUUGUACAACUGAAAAAAGAAAAAAAAAGGCAACCGUAAUUGGUAAUUGUGGUAACAUUUGGGAUUCUGCAUAACAAGGAAGGAAAAUUCGCACUCAAGAACUUGUGGUGAGUAAAAGAAUGCUCAAACGUUUGGUACCACUGUAUUAUAAUAAGGCUGGGUAUGAUAAGGAAAAUGAUCAGUCUAACAACACAAAUCCCUGUAAAGUGCAAGCACAAGCACAAGGAAUGGGGGGAUCGACCACAAAGCAGUGAAAGCACAAACAACAAAAAGGAGAUGAGUAAAGUAUGCAGUGAGAAAGUUACGUACGGAAGCGUCAAGCAGGCGCGUGUAAACAAUUGCGGCAAUGGAGAGAAUGAUUAAGAACAAAAGUGGCAGUACAGAAGAUCGCCAAUAAUGCUGAUUGCGAAGACGAUGCUCUUUUAUAUGUGCUCUGUCUUUAAUUGCCUGCAUUCUGCAACUCCGACUCCGACCGAUCCGCAGCUUACAAUAAUGCUUGCGACAUUCUACAAUAAUUUGAAUGGUUUCGGAAUCUAAGAUUUAGAUUUGAACAGAGCCAUCAUGCUUAGAAUUUUUGCGAGGUCAACUAAUUUUUGGGAAAAACAAGCUGGAUCUGGAAUUCUAUACUGCUGCUAACGGCGAACUGGAAGAAGAAGCCAUACGCGACGCCCAAAGAGAUAAAUCCGAACUGCGCGAAGAAGAGAGAAAAAAAAAUAGAGAGAGAGAAAGAGCUUCUUGGAACUUCGGACUUGAUUUAGUUGCAGCUCCAGCUUAUCGUCUACCGGUUUAUGCGGGACGUAGAAUCAAAUUAUUGGCAGGGGAUGAGGACACACAGAGAAAAUGAUUAAUGGCAGGGCAGAGGACAUACAAAGAAAAUGAUAUGUCAUCGGAUUGAUGACUACGAGUAUAUCACUACCAAUAAUUUUUUUGUAAAAUUAUGAAAAAAAAUAAAGAGAUUACAGUCUUUUUUUUGUAAAAUUAUGAAAAAAAAAAAAACAAGGCCUUAACAAAGCAAAGGAUGGAAAAAAAGGCCUGAAUUUGAAGAAAAACUUUUGAGUAAGGAACCAGCUUCACGGUAUUGCCGUUUGUUGGAAAAAAAAAGAAAAAAGAAACCAGCUUCACGUUGAGUCGAUGCAUUGAAUAGUAUUGGUAUCUUACAAACGAAGAAUCUGUCACUUUCUAUUUUAGUGCUGCUUUUGUCAUUGGGAUUUAAAAUUUGACACCUCCUCUAGUCCACGCUGACCCGUUUCUAUGGAUUUCACCCAUCGCGGACGUUCUGUUCAAAUAUACAUCACUCACUCUAGUUAUCGUUUCUCGUCAAGCAAGUUUUCAUGUAGCCCGUACCGAACAUAUGGAAUAAAUCAUUUUCGUGAUCUUGAAGAAAAGAUUCUUUUUCCUUUUUGUUUUGAAACACUAAAAAACAUAAGAUCCCAUUUGUAUUGCUAGUUUUUAGAGUUUUUAUACAGAAAUAUGGGCCUGUUUGGAACCUGAGUUUUUUGGGAGUUUGUCUAAAACUUUACUGUAGUGCACUGUAGAAGUUUUUGAAAAAAUUUUGUAGAAAUUUUUGUAAGGUGAAAAAUUUUGUAGAAGUUUUUAUAAGGUGAAAAAUUUCUUUUUUCUUUUUUUUUUCCUUUUCUAUUUUUUUUCUCUUUCCCUUUCUUUUUCUUUUUCUUUUUCUUUUUCUUUCCUCUUUCUUUUCUUUCUUCUCUUUUUCUUUUUUUUUCUUUCCUCUCUCUUUUCUUUCUUCUCUUUUUCUUCUUCUUCUUCUUCUUCUUCUUCUUCCCCGUUACCUCCGCCACCCCCAGCAGCCUGCCAGCAACCGCCACCCCUCUCCUCCCUUUCCCCUUCUCCUCCCCUCCCCCCGCCGCCCCCUCUGCCCCGCCUUCCCCCUCCCCCCGCAGCCCCCCUCUGCCCCCAUCCCCCUCCCCUCCUUCCCUCUCCCCCCGCGCCCUCUGCCCCUUCCCCACUCCCCCCCGCUUUCCCCUCUCCCCUGCCGCCCCCUCUGCCCCUUCCCGCUCCCCCCGCCGCCCCUCUGCCCUUCCUCCCCCCGCGCGCCUCUGGCCCGCCCUUCCCGCCUUCCCCGCUGCCCUGCCCCCUCUGCCCCUGCCUUCCCCCUCCCCGCUGCCGCCCCCUCUGCACCUUCCUGCACCCCCCUUCCCCUCCCCUCCGCCCCCUCUGCCCCGCCACCCCCGCCUUCCCUGUCCCCUUCCCGCUUCUCAUCCUCUUUCUUUUCUUUCUUUUUUUUUCCCACAGAGAGGUGGGAAUGGUGCCGGACGUUGAGAGAAAAAAAAAGACAAGAGAGGAUGAUGGCAGGGGAGGAAGAGGGGGAGAGGGAAAAAAAAAGAAGACCGGCACCGGCACCGGAAAUUCACGCGGGAACCAGCGACAGAGCCGGCAAUGGAGGUGGUGGUGGGAGAGGAAUAAGAAGAAAAGAGGAAGGAAAAUUUUUUUUUUUGUUGUGUUUUGGAUAUUUUAAGUGUGUAGGUUAAAAAUUUUGGUAAGUUUUUUGGGGUUCCUGUAGCACAAGUUGUUAAAAAACUAGUUUUAUACAAACUUGGUAAAAAACCAAGCUUCCAAACAGGGCCAUAGGUCCUGUUUGGAACCUUGGUUUUUAGGCAAGUUUGUAUAAUACUAGUUUUUUAACAACUUUUGCUACAGGAACCCAAAAACUUCUCCCAAAACUUUCGCCCCUUUCUGAAACAUUUUAACAAAACGACGUCGUUUUGGCUGGUUUUUUCCUUUUCAAUUCUCAGCAACACAGAAGACUCUUUCCUUUGUUUCUUUCGCUGCACAAAAGUUUUUGAUCUUUCUGUUAGUUCUCCGGAGUCGACCUACUUCUAUGCCGGAGUCUUCAGUUGAUCAGAGCAACGAGAAGCUAAGUGAGUGAUUCUCCAUUUUGUUGGUGAAACCCAUUCGAAAAGCUUCAUUGGUCAAUUGCGAGUUCAGAAACUGGGCGCAGAGGGGAAGGGGUGGCGAGGCAAAGGGGGAAUGGCAGCUUGCUUCCACUGGUGGCGGGCGGGGCUGAUUCACUGAGCCUAUCCGCUCGCAAUCCAUAUAGGACGUCUUCCUCUGAGCUGGUGAGAGAAGGAGGAAGGGGCAGCGGGGGUGGCGGGGCAAAGGGGAGGGGGAAGGGGCAGAGAAGGUGGCGGGGGGAGGGGGUGGUGUGGCAGCGGGGAGAGGGGGCUGGCGGGGGAAAGGGGUGGCGGGGGAAAUGCAGAGGAGAGGAGAAGGGGAAAGGGAGGAGAGAGGGUGGCGGGAGGGGAAAGGAAGAAGAAGAAGAAAGAGAGGAAAGAAAAGAAAAAGGAAAAAAGGAAAAAGAAAGAGAAAGAAAGAAAAAAAAAAAGAAAAGGAAACAAAAAUUCACCUUACAAAAUUUUUUAUCUUACAAAAAACUUCUACAAAAAAAUUUUUCACCUUACAAAAACUUUUAUAAAAUUUUUUCAAAAACUUCUACAGUGCACUACAGUAAAGUUUUAGACAAACUCUCAAAAAACAGGCUCCGUUUGGAUUAGCUGUUUUUGGGUUUGUUUUUCAAAAACACCACUGUAGCAUUUUGAAUCUGAAAAAUAAGUCCGUUUGGAUUAAUUAUUUUUGGGGUUGUUUUUCAAAAAUUAUAUGAAAAACUUUUACUGUAGAUUUUUUUGGAUUAUUUUUAGAGGUAUUUUUGAAACAUAUUUUUGAGUAUUUUUAGAAUAUUAUAAUUUUUAUAUUUUUAUAUAAAUAUACAUUUAUGCAUUUAUAAUACAUUUAUAUUUACAAAUGUAUAAAUGUGCAUUAUUAUAAAUGUAUAAAUUAUAAAUGAAUAUUAUAUAAAUGUAUAAAUGUAUAAAUUAUAAUUUUUAUAUUUUUAUAUAAAUAUGCAUUUAUGCAUUUAUAAUACAUUUAUAGAUAUUUAUAAAUAAAUAUAUUUAUAUAUUCAUAUAAAAAUAUAUAAAUGUAUUAUAUUAUAUAUAAUACAUAAUAUAAAUAUAUUUAUAAAUGUAUAAGUGUAUAUUAUUAUAAAUGUAUAAAUUAUAAAUGAAUAUUAUAAAUAUAUUAUAAAUUAUAAGUGUAUAUUAUUAUAAAUAUAUAAAUUAUAAAUGAAUAUUAUAAAUGUAUAAAUUAAUAUAUUAUAAAUAUAUAUUAAUAUUAUGUAGAAAUGUAUUUAUAUAAUUAAUAUAAAUGUAUAUAUGUAUUGAUAUUAUGUAUAAAUGUAUUAUAUUAUAUAUAAUACAUAAUAUAAAUGUAUAUUUAAAUGUAUAAGUGUAUAUUAUUAAAAAUGUAUAAAUUAUAAAUGAAUAUUAUAUAAAUGUAUCAAUUAAUAUAUUAUAAAUAUAUAUUAAUAUUAUGUAGAAAUGUAUUAAUAUAAUUAAUGUAAAUGUAUACAUGUAUUAAUAUUAUGUAUAAAUGUAAAAUUAAUAUUAUGUAUAUUAUUAUAAAUGUAUAAAUGUAUUAUAUUAUAUAUUAUACAUAAUAUAAAUGUAUAUUAUAAAUAUACAUAAAUAUUUAUAUAUUAUGUAUAAAUGUACAUUUAUAUAAAUGUAUAAUAUAAUAUAUAUUAUAUUAUAUAUAAUAUAUUAUAAAUAUAUAAAAAUAUAUUAUAAAUAAAAUAAAAUAUUUAUAAUAUGUAAGUAUAAAUAUAUAAUAUUAGAAAUGUAUAAUAUAUAUAAUAUACAUUAUUAUUAAUAUAAUUUAUGUAUAAUAUACAUAAUUGAAAUAUACAUAUUAAUAUAUAUUAUAAAACAAAAUUGAAUAAAUAUAUUUAUAAAUUUAUAUAUAAAUAAAUGUAUUUAUAUAAAUAUAUAAUAUUUAUUUCAAUUGAUAUAAUAUAUAUAAUAUUAUACAUAAUUGAAAUAAAUAUAUUUAUAUUAAUAUUAUAUAUAUAAUAUACAUAAUUGAAAUAUACAUAUUAAAAUACAUAAUUGAAAUAUACAUAUUAAAAUACAUAAUUAAAAUAUACAAAUUGAAAUAUACUUAUUAAAAUAUACAAAUUAAAUAUACAUAAUUGAAAUAUAUUUGGAGUUGUUUUUGAUAUAUUGUUUGGAUAUGGUGUUUUUGAAGUUGUUUUUGAAAUACACAUUACUGUAGCAUUUGGAAUGUGAAAAACAGUUUUUCAAAAACAGGUGCAAAAACACUCAAUCCAAACGUAGCCUCAGGUUCCAAACAGGCCCAUACUGUAACUAUUUGAUAUAUAUAAAAUAAAUAAAUUAUUAAAAAAUAUAUUCACGAAAAACAUAAAAAAGAUGAUCUAGAUGGAAAACAAUGGUUUAAUACCCCAAAAAAAAUAUAUAAGAGAGGACUCAAAAUCCAACUUUUGUCCGAACAAAGGCCCAUUUGGCAAGUGAGUUUUUGGAUAUUUGUUUAAAAUUUUACUGUAAUUUACUGUAAAAGUUGUAAAAAAAAAUUUUUAAGUGUGUAAAUUUUUGAAUAUUUUGAAAUGUAUACUUUAAAAUUUUUAAGAAAUUUUUAAAGGUUAUUGUAUCUAAAAUUAUUAAAAAAUUUGAAACAAACAAACUUGGUCAAAAAUUUGCUUAACAAACAAGGCCUAUGCACAGACAAGGAAAAGUGAUUAAUCAGCCACUAGAACCAAUAAUCUAGCUAUGAAAUAAUAUCCAGGACAAAAUAAGAAAGAAAACUGAGGAGUACUAGGCUCCUAGGCAAAAUAAGAAAGAGAACUAAUACAAGGCUCUUCCUCGUUAGCUGGAUUGAGUUUUUCAGGGCAUGACACCUAAACAGCCAUUCUCUAGUAUUUUCUAGUUUACGGCAUCAUCGAAAGCUCAGUCUCAGCUUCGUCGUGUGCUCAAGUUGUUCGUGUGAUCUUUUUAUAUGGCAGGCAGUAUUUGCCGGAAAAAAAUAGAAGAUAUCAAUAAAUGCUUCAGCCACGAGAGAGAGAGAGAGAGUACAGCUGGAAAAUACAGAGGAUAUCAAUAAAUGCUUUAGCCACAAAAUAGAGAUAGAGAGAAAGAGGGAGGGAGAACAUCAAUACAGCUGUCUCUGUUUUCAAGUUCCAAUCGAACAGAGAUCUCACACGUAACAUAAUUGAGUAAUGAUGCUACAGAUUACCGGCAUUUACCCAAGGUGCUGCUUGUUUCAGAGAAAUGGAUUGCCCGUAGCCAUGUGGGUCUUGAAGAUGGGCCUUUCAUGUAACGUCCGUAGCUGUGCGCGUGGUCCACAGCCAUAAGCCUCGCUACCCAUGAUCCAUACACCAAAUUCCGGCCUAAAAGUCUCAAUUUCAAAAAAUAAUUCACCACCAAGGCCUCC
RNAcentral lists this long non-coding RNA (79191 nucleotides) under Coffea arabica (coffee). Its description in RNAcentral is "long non-coding RNA (CARA_LNC001476)". The stretch from base 10178 to 10249 matches the Rfam family "tRNA". Lineage: Eukaryota; Viridiplantae; Streptophyta; Magnoliopsida; Gentianales; Rubiaceae. The record is from RNAcentral.